CAAUGAAUUCCCAGUGUUCAUGAAUCAGAUCGACUUAUUAAUAGCAAAAUACGAGAAGCUGGUUGACACUGAAGCAACUCAGCUGGAUGAGAUCAAUAGUUUGAAAGUCAUGGUUGCGGACAAAGAUGAAAAAAUUCGCAUACACGAAUAACUGUGCCGUGAGCUUCAGAAAGAGGCGACCGAAUUGAAGGCGAAUUUAGAGAAAACCAAGAAGGAACAUGAUGUGAAGGUAUCUGAGCUCGAGGAAAAGCUCAAGGCCAAGGAAAAGGAAGUAGGCAAAAUGAUCAAUAAGGUUGAGGAGAUGGCUAACUCGAUGACUUGGGAAAAGCUAAGAAGCUUGAACUUACGCUCGGGUGUGAGUGUGUACUAGCAUUAGUCAUGUAUUGGAUGGGUGUUUUAAACAUCGUAUCUUAAAAUUUUGAUGGCUGCUACCAUGAAUUUUUUUGCUUGUAUUUUAAGUAUAAACUGUUGUUCUACUUGCUUGUGCAGCCGCAGUUGGAUGACAGCCCAAAUACUCGUAGAUCAAGGUAAACUGUGAAAUUGAUGUUACACAUACAUACAUAUCCUUUUGAGUGGUUAUUAGCAAUGCGGAAGCAACCAUAUUAGGACAAAAAAAUAUCAUCAAAUCAAAUAUGAGAUAUCAUUCUUAUCAGAAAAACUGUGCGGGCUUCAAAUAAAAUAAAAUAGAGUUAAAAAUUUCUCCUAUAAAAGGAGAUGGAGGAAGCCUAAAAAAGGCAUUCAAGUUGGUUUUGAAAUAUUUCUCAUCCACCAUUCACCCCUAUUUUAUAAAACUUUUUUUUACUACUAGUUUCAUUCUGUAAAUUUGUAUUACCAUCUCUAAUAUCAAUUAAUUUUGUCAUAUCGUGCUUCCCAAGAUCUAGGGAUAGGUAUAAGGAUAAGAGUCGAUCUCCAAGUAGGGUGGGGCGUUGUUCAAGAUCUUCAAGCGAGAGCGAAGAUGAUUACAGAAACGAGUAAGCGCAAGUUUAUUUCAUUUUGCUUUUGGUGUUAUAUGAACAGUGUGUCUAUUCCCAUUUCCGACUCUCAUUUUUUUAACUUUGUUUCAAUGAUCACAUUUGUUGGAAGACUGCGGAAAACAAUGUGGCCUGGAAAACGACGAAAAUCGAAGUCUAAGGAUAGAGGCAGAAGUAGAUGACCCCUACGGGCUACGGUUUUCAUGAGGUGCUGCCUUCCUUUAUUACCUGUCUCUGUAUGUUACAUAAACUGUGUGAUGGAAAUCACAAUGGACUUCUUUCUUAUAUAUUUCAUGUUCUACACUGACUAUUCAGUAAUUGAUAUUUGAGAUUUGGAUAUUGCAAAUGAGCAUCUAGGGGAUAGGAAUCAUAGGAGCAGUUCCCUAUAUAUUUUAUCUCUUCUGCAUGAAUCCGGCUAUCAUCAUUAUUAUCUACUGCAGAUUUGGAUAUUGAAUUUCGGAUAUCCCUUAUCAAAAUCCACAUCACUUAUAAUUACAUAUCUAAAUUAGCUUUAUUUUGUUGGAUAAUGAUUUCAUUUGGAAAAUUUGGGCGCCACAUGCAAAGACUUCAAAAUAUUGGACAUGACACAAUAAGACCAAAAAUACCACAACACAGAAAUUCAAUAACAGAAACAACACUAUAUCAAGGAUUAAAAAGAAAAUCCUUGUUUAGCUCCUCGAUGUGGUCAGUGAAUGUGCAACUGUUAUAGAGAAGCCAAGAAAAUCCAGUUAAGAACAAUCUGGGAUAUGAUAACUGAAAAACAAGAGAAACAAUAAUAGUUCAAAGUUUGAAAAGAUGAUUGCUAAGCUCUCGAUUGAAAUAAGUCGUAAAUACAAAUAAAAUUCAACUCCACUAAGAUGUGACAAACCUCCUUGAGUAUUCGAACAUCCCUAGGAGAUGGGAUUCUUUAUCAGUGAAAGCUUCAACAUCUAUCUGCAGUGGCUUUACGAAAUAUCCAAUAUUGGGCCGCAACUUAACCGGAAGCUUCUCACAUCGUAAAAUAAAGCUAGCUUCAAAGGCAAUAGAUGGUGAUGAAAACGAACUUGAAUAAUCCUUCUUGUUGUCUGACCUGGUUCUAAAGAAGCUAUCUCUUCCAUUGGAACAAGUUUUGGCACAUUAUCAGAUGAGGCUCUGUUAGACUCCACAUUGACUAUCUUUAUUCCCGAUAUGGUCUCUGAUGAACAGUUCUUAAAAGAAACUUCUAUGCAGACAAGUAGAUGCGAUAUGCUUGAUAUUUCUGAUGAAAAAGAAUAAUCAACCUUCAAAUCAUUUCCAUUUGCAGGCUCCAAGAGAGAAUAGCUUUUUGGUUUUAUCUGCUUUCCAACAUCCCCAAUAGAUAUUCUUGCCGAAGAUUUACGGACUUGACUUUGCUCCAACAUGCCUGGGUUUGAUGAACCAGGUUGUUCCUCCAACCAUGACUCUAGAGCUCUAUUUGACAUUAAUUCCCCUAGAUUACCAGAAGAAGAAUGAAAAACUCCAUUCUGAUUUUCAGAAGCAUUUCCAAUGUCGGAAAUCUGAAGCAACAGGUCUGCAUUAUCAUUGCCUUCACUUGAUUCACCAUCAUCACAUGGCCACUGCUUCUCGAGCCAGAGAAAGAGUGCUGUGAACCAUAAUCUGAAAGCACUUUCAUUGUCUGAAGGAUCAGAUGAUGUGCCAUGAUCGUCUGUCCCACUAUAAUCUGCUGCCUCCUUCAUAAUUAUACGUGUUCCUUCAGGCUCAUUAAUGCCAUCAAGGAGCAAACUGCAGGGCUUUGGAAGAGGUUCGUACCAGGGAGCAGUAUGAAGAACCAUAUGUGAGAGAGACCCAGGUAGUUUAAAAUCGGUAAUUAAUUGAUUCAGUUUUCACUUCUCUUGUUUGUUUCCUAAAUAUGCAGUUCACAACUAUGUGUAGGUCUUUUUCAGGAAGACUAUGCACUCCUUGUGACCCUUGAGAGAUGAAAUUGUAUGAUAAAAGUUUCUUUAGGAAACAAGCUCGGUCACGGACAUCGUAGUUCGAAUCACAUUCAGCCAAUUCAACCAUAUAUCUGAAAACUUUCUUGAAUGUCGACAGACCUUCUCCUGUAGCACCUGAUAGAACCUGCAAGUACAGACAAACUGAAAAUACAGGCUUUUUCUCUGAAAAUUAACAACAAGCAAGCGGAAAAAAAAAAGAAACUGAUAAACUACAAAAUUUUAAAUUAAUUAAAGAUGACAUGCAACAGCAAGAGUUUUCGAGCUUUAUUUAUUUUACUUUUUUUUUAAUAUGAUAUGGCUACUUGCUGCAACUAAUCCUGACUGACAACCUCCAUCCCAUUUCAUAAGUAAAACAGAUUAUCGUAGGAAGGCCAAAUAUCUUUUCCAGAAAUAUUCGUCCAUAGCUAGGCUAGAAUUGAUCAAGAAUAUUAUAGCUCUUGGAAAUACCUUAGUCACUGUACUAAGAAUUUGAAGCUUUGUUUCCAACGCUUCUGAAGUAACUCACCAUGCAAGAUACUUCAGCAUCGUGGUUAACAUCCUAUGAAUUAUCUCCCCCAAAGAGCUGUAUUCUCCCACCAUCCAAAUAAUCAUUGCACGAACUGAAGGCACCUUGAUUGAAUCCAAACUACGGACUAACCGAAUUAUAACCUUUAAAUAAAAAAUAAGAUGUUGGUUAUCAGCCAAUUAAUAUGAAAACACUGCAGGAAUGCAAAUAAUUUAAAGAUUCUGCCAAAUAGACAGAGAGGUAUGCAAAAAACGCAUAGCUAAAGCUGAAAUGAAAUAAGCAAGAGAGAGAUACCUUCUCAUGAAUUGGUGGGUCUUGCUUUAUGAUUGAUUUUAUAGAGAUAAUUGCCUGAACCAAAACAUCUGCUUCUUGAUAUCUAGACCCUAAAUCUUUAGUCAAGAGCUCUGCAAAAUUUGGUAUCACUUCAGAAAACAAUGGAUUCUCUGAAUGUUACCAGACAACAAGAAGUAGGAAAAGAGGAAUAAACCGUGUCUAGUCAUAGUUAACAGCCCAUCUACACAUAUAUGUGCAUUUUUGGAAGUUGUCGUGCGCAUAUACCAAUUGCAGCAACAGUAGCAGCAGCAAAUCGCCUGUCUGGAUCUCUAAUAUAAUCCUAACAACAGACUAUAAUAUAAGCAUCAAUUCAUGCGAUCAAGGAUCAGCAUACUUGUAUAACAAUGCAAUUUCAACUGGUUGUUAGUACAAAUCUCCGGUGAAGAAAAUCUCGAACACAUGAACGGAACUCGAACAGAAAAAGAAGAAAUAGGACAAUGUUCCAAGGCGUGUAUCAAGCCACUAUCUUUAAGGUUAUAUUCGCCCCCACCUAUUUUCGGUGUGCAAAUGAGUUCCAAGCAAAUUAACCUCGAGGAUAUAAUGAAGCCAAUGACUAUUUGCGUUUUGCACUGACGAGAAUAGCCCACUACACACUGAGCACUGUAUGACAAGAAACUCAAUUUCUAUAAAGAAUUUCUGCAGUAAUACUUUAUAAAAUAAUCUAAUAAUAUUAGAAAAUGAAGUAAAUAAAGUAAGAAUAUUAAAAUUUGUUAGUAUGUUUUUCAAAUGAAAUCUCAUUCCUAUUUAUAAGAAUUUUCAUGUCUCUUCAUAGAGACAUCUUUCAUCAAUAGGUGUCUUUCUGAAUAAUAAUAUUUUUAAAAUAAACACAUAAGUAUUCAUUUAAUAUUAUAACUAUUCAAAUAAUAUUAUUUAAAUAGUUAUAAUUCUUUUUUAAAAAAUCAAAUAAUAUAACUUUUGAUUAAUUACACCCAGUCAUUUAUAGUUAUUGGAACAUUAUAAAUAUUUGAAAAUGUUCCAACAAUCUCGCCCCAUUUUCAAAAUAUUUUGGAUUUUGAUAUUCUUGAAAAUCAAUUUGCAUAAAUGACGGUAUCUUACGAUUGAACCUUCACUUAGUGAAAACAUGUUAAAGUUAAUCGAAAUUGCAUGGUAGACUAAGCUUUGAACCAACUAUUCCAUUUGAUUAACCGAACACAUCUCACACAAUGAUUUCAACAUCGGUCAAUGCAUAGUAUCUAGGGACACUAUUAUGGUCAUGUGUCUAUGUCCUUUUUUCAUGAGUGCUACCAGAGCCAAGCCAUUGAGCUCCUAAAAGUGGUCACACUUCCACUCACAUAGGUAGAUCCCAUCAAGAGUGUUCUCGUAAUUAUAACAUUCUAACAUAUUUAUGUUAUGGGUCCAUUAAGAUUACAUUACUCAUCCUUCCCUUAUCAUUACGGGUACCUAACACUUUAAUCUUAGGAUGAAUUUAUUUAUAGUGCUAACAAUCACAUAGUAAUGAUAUACUUUGCCUCAUUGAACUCAAGACUUGACGUUAUACCAAGCGUUGAGUCGAGUUUCCAUCAUGGGUGACUCUAAUUAAUGGGCUUAAGUCCGAUCCCUUUUGAAGUCCUUUUUACUGCAUCUCUAGCAAGACUUUUUGUCAAAGAAUCCGCCAAAUUUCCACUUGACCUUACAUAAUUAAUAGUGAUCACUCCAUCAGAGAUUAAUUGUCGGACAUAACUAUGUCUUAAUCCAAUGUGUCUAGACUUUCCAUUAUAUACUUGGCUAUAUGCCUUUGCUAGAGUAGCCUCACUAUCACAACAGAUAGAAAUAGGUGAAAUUGGCUUAGGCCAUAAAGGUACAUCAUAAAGCAAAUUUCUUAACCAUUCUGCUUCUUUAGAUGCAGCGGCUAAAGCAAUAAAUUCUGCUACCAUGUUGGAAUUAAUAAUACAUGUUUGUUUCUUGGAACCCCAAGAAAUGACUCAUCCACCAAGAAUGAAGAUCCAUCCACUAGUAGAUGCAUGAUCUUCCAAACUUGUAAUCCAACUAGUAUCCGAAUACCCUUCUAAAACUGGAGGAUAUCCAUUAUAACACAAUCUAUAGUUAAUAGUUUUCUUUAAGUACCUAAGUACUCUAUUCAAAGCUUGUCAAUACAAACUACUUGGAUUACUUGUGUAUCUACUCAAUUUUCCAACAGCAUAUGCAAUAUUUGGUCUUGUACAAGUCAUUAUGUACAUAAGACAACUAAUUAGACUUGCAUAUUUCAAUUGAUCAAUUUUCCUACCAGCAUUAGAUACUAAUUUUAUUUGAGGAUCCAUGGGUGUAGAUGUUGGUAUACAGUUGAAAAGAUCAAGCUUUUUAAGCACAUUUUCAAUGUAAUGUGAUUGUGAUAAAGUUAUAGUAUUUUCAUCUCGGGUUAUUUUAAUCCCAAGAAUAACAUCAACUACACAUAUAUCCUUCAUAGCAAAGUUGUUUGACAAGAAUUUCUUUGUGUUUUCUAUUUGUUCCAAAUCCGUGCCAAAAAUGAGCAUGUCAUCUACAUAUAAGCAAAUUAUGACACCUUUUCCAAUUUCAAAUUUGCUAUAUAUGCACUUAUCAGAUUCAUUUAUUUUAUAGCCAUUAACUAAAACAACCUUGUCAAACUUUUGGUGCCAUUGUUUUGGUGCUUGUUUAAGUCCAUAUAAAGAUUUAACAAGCUUACAUACCUUAUGCUCUUGUCCUGGAACAACAAAUCCUUUUGGUUGCUCCAUGUACGCUUCCUCUUCCAAUUCACCAUUUAAAAAUGCAGUUUUAACAUUCAUUUGGUGAUAUUAAGAGUCUAAUUGUAGCAAUUCUUGCUACUAGAGCAUAGGUAUCAAAGUAAUCAAUACCUUGUUUUUGCAUAAAAUCUUUGGCUGCCAACCUUGCUUUAAAUUUAUCAAUGGUUCCAUCGACCUUCAUUUUCUUUUUGAAGAUCCAUUUACAACCUAUUGGUUUGGAACCUAGUGGAAGAUCAAUUAAGAUCCAAGUUUGAUUUUCCAUUAUUGAAUACAUCUCAUCAUUUAUUGCUUCUUUCCAAAAAGCAGAGUCUUGAGAUUUCAUUGCCUCUUCAAAUGUAAUAGGAUCAGAUUCCAUAUUAUAACAAUAAGGUAACUUAUUACAUAUACUUUCACAUUUUCCUUCUACAAGAAACAUAAUGAAAUUUAGUCCAAAAUCUUUGACCUUUUUAACCCUCUUGCUUCUUCUUAAUUCUUGACAAGAUUCAUCAUUAUUAUCAAUUUGUUCCAAUGGAAUCUCAUUCUUAUUUGAAGAAUGAAUCAAUUGUUGUGGCUGUAAUUGUCUUGAUAUAGAAUUAAACCUAUUUUCAUCAAAAAUAGCAUCUCUUGAUUCAAUAACAGUAUUAAUUGAAAUUGAAUCAUUUGGUUUAAUUACCAUGAACCUAUAUGCAUUGCUAUAAUGUGCAUAACCUAUAAAUAUGAAUUCAAUUCCUUGUUGACCUAAAUUUUUACGUUUAGAUGUUGGAACUUUGACAAUAGUUAUACAACCCCAAACCUUCAAAUAAUUAAGGUUUGGUUUCCUUUUCUUUCAUUGUUCAUAGGGGGUUAUUUUAGUUUCGUUAUUAGGAACUCUAUUCAAUAUAUGACAAGUUGUUAGAACAGAUUCUCCCCAAAAGCCUUGUCCAAGACCUGAAUAUGAUAACAUUGAAUUUACCAUUUCAAUCAAAACUCCAUUUUUCCUUUCAGCUACACCAUUUUGUUGUGGUAUGUAAAGGGCUGAAACUUUAUGGACAAUUCCAGUGGACUCAAAAUAACUUGGAUUAUAGUAUUCUCCACCUCUAUUCGAUCUUAAGCACUUGAUAAAUGAUUCACACUGAAGUUCAACUUCAAAUUUAUAAACUUUAAAUUUAUCGAACGCUUCAUCUUUUGAAUGCAAUAAAUAUACAUAACAAUAUCUAGAACAAUCAUCAAUAAAAGUAACAAAAUAUUUCUUUCCACCUAACCAAAUGUAAGAGUAUUAUGCAUGUCACAUAAAUCACUAUGUAUAAAAUCAAGCAAUUUUGUUUUCCUUUUAACCUUAGGGAAAUGGUUUCCUGUAAUUUUAGUCAACUUACAUCUAUUGCAUUUUUCAAUAUUAUUAUUAAAAACAGGAAUUAAAUCUAACUUACACAUGUCAUUCAAUUUUUUAUAAUUCAAAUGACCUAAUCUAUAAUGCCACAAAUAAAAAGAUUCAACCAUAUAAGUAGAAAUAGUAUUUUUAUUCUUAUUAAUGAUAUUGAGUUUGAACAUACUCUCAUACAUAUACCCUUUCCCCACAAAAAUUCCUCCCUUAGAAUAAAUAAACUUAUCUGCCUCAAAAACAAGUUUGAAACCAAACUUAUUCAACAGACUUCCAGACACUAAAUUAUGUCUAACUUUUAGUACAUAAUAUACAUCAUUUAAGGUUAAAACCUUUCCAGAAGUGAAUUGUAGCUCAACAGACCCUUUGCCUUUGAUUGCUGCGGUAGAAGAAUUUCCCAUGUACAAGACAUUGUCAUUUUCACAUUGUGUAAACUUUGUGAACAUGCUUUUGUUUUUGCACACAUGUUUGGUUGCUCUAGUAUCAAUCCACCAUGUAUUAUCAUCUUGUGCCAUAUUAAUUUUAGAUAUCAUUGCAACGAACAUUUUGUUAUUAUCAGCCUCAGAAGAUGAUUUCUUCUUUAAAAAUCGACAUUCAUUCUUGAAAUGUCUCGGCUUUCCACAAUGAUAGCAUGAGCCCUUUUGUUUCUUUUUUAACUUAGGUGCUCUAUCAGUCUGUUUGAACUUUCUCUUGAAUGGUAUAGUAGUCUGUACUUCCUCCAUAACAUGCACUUUGGCAGUUUCAAAAUUUAGGUUCUGAUCUUGUUUUCAAUAUUCUGCUUCAAUAGGAAGAUGAUUUGCCAAAGCCUCAAGAGAUAUCUCAUCUUUCUUAUGUUUUAGACUUCUUUUAAAGUAUUUCCAAGAUGGAGGAAGUUUGUCUUCAUGGAGGAUACAACAAUCACUUCAUCCAUUUUCAUAUCAUAUUGCUUGAACAGAUUCAGCAUCUUUUCAAUAUCACGGUAUUGUUCCAUAACAAAACGACCAUCAACCAUUUGAUAAUUAUUAAAACGACUAACAAGAAAUUUUUUUGUUGUAACAUCUUUGGUCAUGUAUCUUGUCUCCAAUUUGUCCCAUAAUCCUUUAGCGGUGACCUCAUUUUGGUAAGUUUCGAACAAACCAUCAGAUAAACCAUUCAAUAUGUGGCCCUUACACAUGUAGUCAGCAUUGUCCCAUUUUUGUCUUUCUCGGGUUACAGCAACAGGUUUGUUUUCAUUCUCUUCAGGUCUUAGAGUAUCCAAAACAUAAGCAAUCUUCAAAGUUGAUAAUUAGAAGUGCAUCUUUUUCUGCCAUUGUCGAAAAUUGCCACCAUCAAACCGAUAAAGUUUGACAAAGUUGGAAGCCAACUCCCUUAGUGUUCCACUUUCAUGUGUUGUGGUAGUCAUCAUGAGAUAUAACCUUAAAAUUGUUAGUACAAAUCUCCGGUGAAGAAAAUCUCAAACACACGAACGAAACUCGAACAGAAAAAGAAGAAAUAGGACAAGGCUCCAAGGCAUGUAUCAAGUCACUAUCUUUAAGGUUAUAUUUGCCCUCACCUAUUUUCGGUGUGCAAAUAAGUUCCAAGCAAAUUAACCUCGAGGAUACAAUGAAGCCAAUGAUUAUUUGCGUUUUGCACUAACGAGAAUAGCCCACUACACACUAAGCAGUCAAGAAACUCAAUUUCUAUAAAGGAUUUCUACAGUAAUACUUUAUAAAAUAAAUCUAAUAAUAUUAGAAAAUGAAUGAAGGAAAGAAAUAAUAUUAGAAUUUGUUGGUAUGUUUUCCAAAUGAAGUCUCAUUCUUAUUUAUAAGAAUUUUCAUGUCUCUUCAUAGAGACAUCUUUCAUCAAUAGGUGUCUUUCUUAAUAAUAAUGUCUUUAAAAUAAACACAUAAUUAUUCAUUUAAUAUUAUAACUAUUCAAAUAAAAUUAUUUAAAUAGUUAUAAUUCUUUUUCAAAAAAUCAAAUAAUAUAACUUUUGAUUAAUUACAUCCAUUCAUUUAUAGUUAUUGGAACACUAUAAAUAUUUAAAAAUGUUCCAACACUAUUCAGUUGACCUCAAUUAUUUCUUUUAUGCCAAAGACUAGGAAAUGACUUAGUGUCAGAUGCUCAAAAGUGGCAAAGAAAGGAUUAUUAUUAUUCUGAAGUCCAUUCUGUCCAUAUCACUUCUUUCUUCCUAACAUAACACAAGGAUUAAGAAUUACUCUUUUUUUUCAGAUCUUCAAGGUUGGCUUGGCAGUGCAAGGAUUGAAACCUUGAAAAGCUAAGCACCAAAAGUACAGUUGAAACGGUCAGGUUAAGCACCUUUGGUAACUUACAUGAGCUCAAAUAAAACCACACCCUCUUUCAAGUGAAUCUGAACAGUCUAAAAAGAAAUAACUCUAUAUUCCAUUAACCAAAAAAUGGUUCAAUGGCAUUCAGUUUCAGUUAUUUUGGUCAGGCUUUUGCCAGAAGAAUCGUAAUUUAAAUGAUAUAGCAUCACAUCAAAUCCAGUAAUCAGAAGAAAAUUCCCUAAACAAAAUGAUUUGCAUAGGAUGAAAAUGGCCCAAAAAUACCAUCCUUUCCAAUACUGGUGAAUGUAAUAAUACCUUUUUUCUUACAUAUGGAUGCAACAGAAAUUCAUUAUGGUAUACCAUACAGAAGUUUCAAUGUGACUUCUAUUUCCACUAUCUUGCAUUUCUACAUAGUGCAAAUAUCAACAAUGAUAAGGAAUUCCUUAUGAAAAUAGCAGGUACUUGAAACUUUUUGAAAAUAGAAGAAAUGGACGAGUCUGGCGCAAUGGAUGAAAGUAUCUUAAGCUUCAAGGCUUUGACUUGAUAUGAAUCAGAAGAAUAAAUUAAGAAGUCCUCAUGGUAUAGAGCAAAAAGAGAUGGCAUUGCUUUAGCAAAUACUUGAAUGUUGCAAAGGACCUACUCAUUCAAAUCAACAUAACCAUUCUUACCAUCUUAGCAACCAACUUGAAACAUAAACUAGGCAGAUAACCCAAAUCUAAAAUUGGCUUUGCCAAAUGAAAUGACAUAACUGUAUGAAUUCUAGAACAAUGCAAAAUCUUAAAUGCUGUUAAAAUAGAAAACUACACAAUGAACUAUUGCAUUUACAUAAACAUACAUGGAUACAUAGAUGUACACCCAUGUUACAUAGUUUGUAUGCACAAUUGAAAAAAAUCAAUAAAAAUAUAGAUAUGGUGGGAUUUAGGCUUCCUUUGGAUUCAUCGCGCACAUAAUGCGUUGGAAUCUUUCAUAUAAUUUUGUCUUGGUUUUUAAUCUCACUACACCACAGUGAUUUGAAUGGCUGUUUGGGACACUUGCAGUGGCACAAACAUGCUGCACUAGAUAGAGAUAUCUUGACUGGUGCUAAAAGCUCCAGUCUACCCACUGGGGCAAUAGGUAUUUUUAGUAGACAAAAAUACCCAUACUUUUAUUUAUUUUUUUACCAUUUUAUCCUUGAAAGUUAAACUAAUUUCUUUCCCAACCUUAUUUGUUUUUAGAUUUGGGAACAAAACAAUUGUUUUGUUUUUCAUAUUUGAGAACUAAAAUAGUGAUUAUUGUUGGUUUCUCCCCUCUUUUUUGCUUUGUAUUUGGUUGUGGCUGCUACAUUUUAUCCUUUGCUUUUGUUAGAGUCUAUUUUUUGAAGGUAUUUUUCAUUAAUUUCUUGUCAUAGACUUCUGCAUAGAACAUGCAAACAAAGCUCUAACGAUGGUUUCUUUGACAGCCGAAUUUUGCUGAUGUUACUGACGGUAAUACAAAGAGUCGGGAAGGAAGGCGUCCUCAGAAAACCAAUUAUGUAAUCUCUCAUUUAAUUUCGCUUCAAGCAGCACAAUGAUGGUUGCUCCUUGAAUCUGCUAGUGAUUCUUGUCUCUUCUUUAUUUAUCCUAAUGUUUCCCCUUUUUUAUUUUAAUGUCUGUAGCGACAAGAACAGCUAUCCAAAUCCAUCCAAAAGUAAGAGGUAGUUUAAUGUCUCUAAAAAUGCCUUUAUUCAUUUUGAAAAGAUAGUCAUAAUCAAUUAUCCUUUCUAUAUCCUCGUUAUUGUUUACCAUGGAUCUUUGAAAAUUUUUUCUUUAGUGUUCAUCUUAUGGCUUUCAUCCUUUGUUCUGAUUUUGUUGAUCUGAUAGCAUUUUUUUUCUUUGUGUACAUUUCAAUUUACUGUUUAAACCUAGAUUUAUGAAAUGUGUCAAAAGUAUGGGCUAAUAUUGCCUACUUGUAAACUCCACUUGUUUAUUCCUGCACUAUCAUCGUAUAUUAGUUGAAAUUACUACCAUCUUAAAUAAUUAGUUAUACAGAUAAUAGAAUAUCCAUUAAGCACAUUUACUAGUGUAUAGGGAAUGCUUUAGACCACGUAACAAGCUAAUGUGGAACAAGCUGCUGGUUUGGCUAUGUCUUGUUUUCAUAUUUUCUAAUAAGAAUGUUGCAAAGGCUUACCCUUUUUAAAAGAAAAAGGGUUAGGAUGAUUUGAUAUUAUAAGUAGUUUUACAGUUUCGACCUUCAGAAACUAUGAGAUUGUUGCCAUAACCUUGAGUGAUUAAAUGCAUGCUUUUUUUUAGACUAAAGUAAAAAUUUGAUGACUAGUGUUGCUAAGAAAAACCAAACUACUCAAGUUUGCUUACACUUUUUCUGGUAGAAACCUAUUCGUACUAUUGUUUUAAUCCAAAUUCUAGAGAAUCUGAAAUGGUUUGUCAGCAUCAAGUGCAAUUUUACACUGGAGCUAAGCAGCUUAUUGCUUAUUUAUCCUAAUGUUUCCCCUUUUUUAUUUCGCUUCAAGCAGCACAGCGAUGGUUGCUCCUUGAAUCUACUAGUGAUUCUUGUCUCUUCUUUAUUUAUCCUAAUGUUUCCCCCCUUUUUUUUAAUGUCUGCUGCGACAAAAGCAUCUAUCUAAAUCCAUCCAAAAUUAAAAGGUAGUUUAAUGUCUCUAAAAAUGCCUUUAUUCAUUUUGAAAAGAUAGUCAUAAUCAAUUAUCCUUUCUAUAUCCUCGUUAUUGUUUACCAUAAAUCUUUGAGAAUUUUUUCUUUAGUGUUCAUCUUAUGGCUUUCAUCCAUUCAUGAUGUAUUAUUCUUAUUUUUUAUGAAACUAUAUUAUUCUAUCUAAUUAUAUAUUUAUGGUUUUAUGACAUUUAAAAUCAAAAUAAUAAUAGAUGGUAAAGACACGAAAUUUUGUGGAGGGAGAUAGUACCUUAGCAACAAAAGCUGUUUAGGAUGAUGAGCUGACGUUGAUAUUUUGUGAACUUUGCAUGAAUGAAUUCAAUGCUGGUAAUAGACCGACAACUCAUCUACACUCAAAAGGAUAGGAAAAUGUCAUUGCUCUUUUUCAAGCAAAAACACAAAAAAAAAUUAUGGAAAACCUCAAUUGAAAAAUAAGUGGGAUACAUUAAAAAAGGAAUGGAGGAGUUGCUUAAGGAAUCUACAGGUAUUGGAUGUGUCCAUCUAAAAAGACGAUUGAUGCUACCGAAGAAUGGCGAGCUAAAAAAAUACAGGUUAGUGUUAACUUUAUCAUUAUUUUAAUGCAUAAAGUUUAUUGAAAUUAAUAAUUUACAAUUAUAAAAAUCUUAAUAUAACAUUUAACAUUUAACAUGUUAUGUAGGAAAAUCCUGAUUUUAAAAUAUUUAAGAAGAAAUGAAUUGAACUACGACUGAAUGAGUUAAUGUGGCAAAUGUUUGGUAGCAUUGUAGCCACUAGAGAGAGUGCUUGGGCACCUUCGUCUGGUGUUCUUCCAAGUGGGGUUCCUAUGGGAGAUGAUACACCUAAUGAAGGAUUUGGUGAUUCAGAUGAACAUAGUAAUGAGAAUGAAGGUAUUCCUCUCCUAAUGAGGUACCAUCAAACCAUUCUCAUGAAACUCUUAAUCGAAGAAAGCAAACACUUGGGGUUGUACACGGUAAAUGAAAAAAAUCAAGUUCAAGUAGAAAAUCAUCAAGAAAUACAUUAACUACUCAGAUUGAGAAAUUGUGUGAGAGUAUGGCUAGUCCAAGGAAGUCAAUGAAUGAAAUUAUUUUUCCUCACUCUCAAUAUACUAUUUCAAAUGCAAUAGAUGCUUUGCGUGCUUUGGGAGAUGAAAUUCCAAAAAAAAAAGAUGAACUGUACUAUUUUGCCAUCAAAAUGUUCCAAAUACCGGUGAAACGAGAAGUGUUUUUGAACUUAGAUCCAGAUGUUAGGGUUUGGUGGCUUCGACAUGAGUAUGCUGAACAAAAUCCAAUUGCAUCAUUUUCAUCCUUGGUAGCAACAUUCUUAUUUCCCUUCCAACCAUACCAUCAACCACCUCCACCAUAAGCUCCUUAGAAUUAUUAUUGUAAUAUAACUAUACUACUCUUUUAUAUGUAAAACUAAUGUAUGAUAUUUUUUAUGUUUGGUACUUUUAUGCUAUGCUUUUAUUCAAGUUUCUGUGUUGUAUAGAAUGUCACAANNNNNNNNNNNNNNNNNNNNNNNNNNNNNNNNNNNNNNNNNNNNNNNNNNNNNNNNNNNNNNNNNNNNNNNNNNNNNNNNNNNNNNNNNNNNNNNNNNNNAGUUUUGAUAUGAAUUAUGAUACCCCUGAAUUAAGUGAAGAAGCUCAACGAAGAAUAGCCACAAUUGUUACCCAAGUUGAACACAACAAUUUUCAUGAAAAGGAAGAAUGUGUGUUAAGCAGUGUAUUGGUACACCAUGAAACUUAUUUCACUAUGCAACCGCGUAUGGAUUCAAAUUAUACAGGUCAAAUGUGGGUGGACGAAGUAUUAAAUGGGCAUGAUGAUCGUUGCAUGAAUAGUUUUAGGAUGCCAAAAAAUAUAUUUCACAACUUGUUGCGUGAUUUGCAAACAAAUUAUGGCUUAAAGCAUGGGAAAGUAUCGGCGAUGGAGAAGUUAGCAUUAUCAUUAUACAUUCUUGGAAAUAGAGAAUCAAAUUCAAAUGCAAUAGAGCGAUUUCAACGAUCUGGGGAAACUGUUAGUUAAAUUUUUACUGAUAUGUUGCAUAUAUUUGCUCAAAUGGGAAUAGACACGAUUAAAUCCACUGAAGGUCAAUUCGAGGAAGUACUGAACCAUAUUCGACAUGAUACAAGAUAUUGGCCUCACUUUAAGGUAAAAUUUACACAAUCUUUAUAUUUUUAAAAUAUAAAUUAUUUCUAACUUUUAUCUCAUUACUUGUAUUUAUUUUAAAGGAUUGUAUUGGGGCCAUAGAUGGAACACACAUAAAAGCAUGCAUUUCGCCUUCUUGUCAAAUACCUUAUAUCGGACGGAAAAGUAAACCAACUCAAAAUAUUAUGGCAGUUUGUGACUUCAACAUGUGCUUUAUUUUUGCAUUUCCUGGUUGGGAAGGAACAGCACAUGAUAGUAGAAUUUUUUUGCAAGCACUUAGAAAACAAUAGUUAAAGUUUCCACACCCUCCACCAGGUUGAACUUUAAUUUUUUAAUUAAUCUUUACAUAAAAAAAUUAAAUUUUUUAAAUUUUUUUUAAACUUGAUAUUACAUUUUACUUUUUUGUAGGAAAAUAUUAUCUUGUAUAUUCAGGAUAUCCACAAAUGGCAGGUUUUCUAGGUUCAUAUAGGGGGGAAUGAUAUCAUUUACCUAAUUUUCGUCGAGGUAAUCAUCAAGUAUCUAGAAAAAAAAAGAAAUAUUUAAUCAUGCCCAUUCUUCGUUACGCUCUAUGAUUGAACGAACAUUUGGAGUGUGGAAAAAAUAUUAAGAGAUAUUCCAAGUUAUUCAUUCAACAAACAAGUUUUAAUAGUUAUUGCAACAAUGGUUUUGCAUAAUUACAUUCGAAGACAUGCUUGGUCAAAUGAUGAGGAUUUUCGACAAUUUGAUAAUAUACCUGACUUGCCAGUCUUUUCAGGCCAUUUUGAUUGAGGUGAAUCGAGUUCUUCUAACGGUGAAAGUGACCUUGAAAUCGCUAUGUUAAGGGAAACCAUUACAACUAGUUUAAUGAAUCCAUAUUUGUAAAAACAUUUUGUAUCAUAACAUAAUUUCUAGUAAUAAUGAAACUUGUUAUGUCUUAUGUUACUAUAUAUUUUUUAUUAAAAACCAUCCGUUUAGAUACUUCAAAAUUUGAUCCAAGUAUAAUGUUACUAUUUGUGAAAAUAAUAUUUAUCAUUGUUAUAAAAGAAUAUUUAACUAUAAAAAAUUUAAAAUAAUUAUCAUUUUAUCUAAUAAAUAAUUUAAAUUGAUUAUAUAAUUCAUUAAAAUAUUUAAAAUAAAAUAUCGAAAGAUACAUUUUAAUAUUUUAUUAAAUGAAUUUAUAAAUUCACAUAUUUUAAUAAUUUAAAAAACUUCUAUUAUAUAUCAAUUCUAAUCUGAUGUCCUUAAUAGUCAUUUUUUAUUUUCACCUCACCGCUACAGCUACGUUUGAAUCCAAACACACACUCCACCAUUGUUUCUAAUCUCGCUGCUACAGUAUCCAAUCUCACCGCUACAGUAACUAAUCUCACCGCCACCGCUAUUUUUAACCUCACCGGAGGUAAACACACCGCCCAUCCAAACUAAGGGUGGGUUUGGAUGGGCGAUUGGGUACGGUGCGUUGCGUUUAGCUUACUUUUUGUCUCACGCUACAGUUUCUAAUCUCACUGCCAUCGCUGUUUUUACACUAACCACAGGUAAACGCACCGCCCAUCCAAACUCACCCUAAGCCUUAAACCUAUGUCAAUUGCAUUAAUAAAACUUUUAAUUUACUAUUCAACUAAAAAAAUUUUAUUUGUUUUUAUACAUUUUAUUUUUAGUAUGCACAUUUUAUUACCUUCAUUAGUUGUAUAUAUUAAUAAUAUAUUUGAUUGAUUUUAUGUCAGAAAUUAACUGAACACCGACUUAAGAUUGAUAAAAACUUUAUGUAAAUACAAAAAGACAAAGUAGUCCAUAUCUCUCAAAACGAUUUGACAUUAAAAGUUCAUUUAUCUAAAAACUUAACCCCACUUUUCUAACUCCCUUUUCUUUAAUUCAAACAUAUUUUUUCCCAUAUCAAUAAUUUCUCACUCCAACCAACGAAAAAUCGGAUUAAACUUAUAUAUGGUAUAAAGUUCGAUUUGGUACUAGAUAUGGAUGUGUUACCACUAUAUUUAAAAAUAUUUUCAUGUAUACAAAUAUAACCUAUAUAAAUAUAAAUUUUAAAUUAAUUAAAAUUAAAAUAAUUGAUAAAUGAAAACUUUGUAUUAAAUGAUAUGAAUUGAUAUACAUUAAUACAUGUCGAUAUUAAUAAGUACACGAAAUAUCACAUUAAUAUCAUUAAGAUUUUAAUCUAUGAAAAACACAAAUUAACUAAUUUUUUUAAACUAAAGACUAAAAAAUUAUUAAAAGAAAUAACAAAAAAAAUCAAUACAAUUAUAAUUCUAACCUUCCUAAAAACAUAAAUACGCGACCUAUAUAAGUCAUGGGUUCUAAAAGAACAAGAUGAUAAUAAAAUCCUAUUGAUUUAAUUUUUGGUAUUGAUCAAUAUUUUAAAAAAUUAAAAAUUUAGAUUUAUUUUAACUUAAUUUAUAAUAUCUUCUAUCAAAAUAAAAUAUGUUUAUUAAAUUAAAUUUAGAUUGCAUUUUAUCUCAUUUACUAAAAAAUAGAUAAAUUAAUUUGUAUACGUUAGAUAAAAGAGCAAACAACUUAUCUGUUAAACAUCAAUAGGAUAUACAUUUAACAUGUCAUGUGAAAUUAUUUGAUUAUUUUGUCGACCACAUUAAUUUUUAAUAAUAAAUUUUUUAAUAGAAAAUCAAUUUAUUUUUUUAAUAGAAGGUAAUUCAACUAAUUUAUUUAUUUAUUUUUAGUAUAAAGUAGAAAUGCAAUCCGAACGUGGAUACUUUUACCCAAAAUCCCGUCCUUGCAUGGCUGUCUUUUCACGUGUAUGAAAACCCAACCAGAAAAGGAAAAAAAAUAAAGAAGGGAAAAGUAGUUCAUAAUCAAAUUGGUGACAGCCCCCCACAAAAGCCAUGAAAGUUUUAAAUUAUUACAGCAAAUGUCUUUUAAUCCCCCCACUUGCAGACAAAUUCAAGUAUGAAACUUUAGCUUAAAAGCAAAGUCAACCUUUUUACUUUUGUCUUUCCGAACCUUCCAUAAAAAGAGGACAAAAUUUUGCCAACCUUCCUCAAUCUUUGUUUUCUCCUUCAUUUUUUAAUCACCAGUCAAAGUUUUCAAUACAAUUGUUAUAAUCUCGUGGGUGACAGCUGAGACUUUGGACUGCGGACAGAAAAGUUCUCCUUUUUCACACUUGAAUGCUUCGUUUUUCUUUGGUUUUUCUCGACCCUUCUUUAUAUCAGAUUGUUCUCUAUUUUGGUUCUUGUAGUUGAAACAGGUGACAACAAGAAGACCCAGAGUUUUAUUUUGGAUGGGGUCUUGUUUUAGUGCUAGAAUCAAAGCUGAGAGCCCUCUUCACAACGGUAUGCUGGGAAAUUUGACAACUUUUCAUCGACUAUGAUGGGUUUUCUUCAAAGUGUUCGUUUUUUGUGAUGUUUGUUAGGUGUUUGAUGUUAUGUUUGCAGGGGCUAAUUCAAGAUAUGGGAGCAAAAAUGGUGAAGAAAUGGGUGGUUCAAGCAGCAGGGUUUCUUCAAUGUCAAUGCCUAGAACCGAGGGGGAGAUUUUACAGUCUUCAAAUUUGAAGAGUUUCAACUUCAGUGAACUUAGAACAGCCACCAGAAAUUUCCGACCGGACAGUGUUUUGGGUGAAGGUGGUUUUGGUUGUGUUUUUAAAGGUUGGAUUGAUGAGAAUUCACUUACAGCAGCCAAACCUGGUACUGGUUUGGUUAUUGCUGUCAAAAGGCUUAACCAGGAGGGUUUUCAGGGUCACCAAGAAUGGUUGGUAAGUUUCAUUUCUUCCCUAAUUCCCACCCUUGAGCUCAUCAGGUUUCUCAAAAUCCUUGCUUUGCUCUUAGAUCAUUGCUUUCACCUUAUCUGUAUACACAUAAAUACAUACACACAUAUAUAUUUGUAUUAUGUAUGUUAUCUUGGUUGAGUAAGGUACAAUUCAGCUUGGUUAAUAUCAUGUGCAUUGACGUUUGAAACAUAAAAAAUAUGCUUUUUAAAGGGUCGGUUGUAGUUAUUUUAGCCAGCUACCUAGAGCCUUCAUUACCAUUCACUUGUUAUUCAAGUUCUACUCCGGUCAUCCUCUCGAUCGACUACCGAGCGCAUCUCGAUUUAUUAGUUUGCAAUGUUUGGUAAUUUAAUGAUGCAAGUGGAUUGCAGGCUGAAAUCAACUACCUGGGGCAACUGCAUCAUCCUAAUCUCGUGAAAUUGAUCGGUUACUGCUUAGAGGACGAUCAUCGACUUCUGGUUUACGAAUUCAUGCCAAAGGGCAGCUUAGAGAAUCAUCUUUUUAGAAGUGAGUUAUUCAUCUUUACAUCUUCCCUUUAUUGAGUCAAUUCAGUUGCUUACAUUUCAGGGGAACAGUCUUAAUCCAACAUUUCCAUUAUAAUGAAACAGGAAAUUCUUAUUUUCAACCACUUUCCUGGAACCUCCGGAUGAAGGUUGCUCUUGGUGCUGCUAAGGGCCUAGCAUUUCUACAUUCCGAUGAGGCCAAAGUCAUAUACAGAGACUUCAAAACUUCGAAUAUCUUGCUUGAUUCGGUAUGCAAACAUGUUUAAUUAUUGAAAUUUUCAUUGACUCUGUACAUCAAGACUUUAAAACUUAGAAUAUCUUGCUUGAUUUGGCCUGCAAACAUGCUUAAGUAUCGAAGUUUUCAUAACUCUAUUUCAAGCACUUUGAAUAUCUUGUUUAAUCCGGUAUGCUAACAUGGUUAAUUAUUGAAGUUUUCAAGACUAUAUCGAGACUUUAGAACUUUGAAUGUCUUUCUUGAUUCGCAUGCAAACAUGUGUAAAUAUCGAAAAUUUUCAUGGCUCGUACUUCAGAUUUAUGCAGCUCACUAACAUCUUUGUUCCAAUGUAAAAAAAUGGCAGAAUUAUAAUGCCAAACUGUCUGACUUUGGACUGGCUAAAGAUGGACCAACUGGUGAUAAGAGUCAUGUUUCGACAAGAGUCAUGGGUACUUACGGUUAUGCAGCUCCCGAGUAUAUGGCCACAGGUAGCUUUUGAAUUCCCACCUUCACUUUCAUAUAUAUGUGCGAAAUAUAUUCAGAUAUUUGAGACACUCAUUCUCGAGUAAGAGUAACAUAGACUGCAACUUCACUAAUCAUCCUCCCAAUGAAAUGUCUGUGCCUCAGUUGAAUAACUUUAUAUCUUAUACUAUUCUUACAAAUGCAACCUUUGCUAGGCAGACUUUUUUCCCUAAGUAUUUAUGUCUGCCAUAUAUUCUGGUGUAAGAGACACAACUCUCGAGUUAGAGUAACAUAGAAUGAGACUUCCCUAAUCAUAUUUUGGUUUCAUUCUUUCUUAUGAAGGUCAUUUGACAGCCAGAAGUGAUGUAUAUAGUUUUGGAGUUGUUCUUCUUGAAAUGUUGACCGGCAAGCGAGCAAUGGAUAAGAACAGACCUUCAAGAGAGCACAGUUUAGUUGAUUGGGCCAAGCCUUACCUUACCAGCAAACGCAAGAUUUUACACGUUAUGGAUUCUCGUAUCGAAAGCCAAUACACACUCGAUGCAGCAUUGAAAGCUGCUUAUCUUGCGCUGCAAUGCCUUUCUAUAGAACCGAAGCUUAGGCCUAAUAUGAAUGCCGUAGUGAAAGCACUUGAGCAACUUCAAGACUCCGGCCGUGAUCACAAAGGGGCCCCUCGAAAUUCAUCUGUUCUUAAUUCUCAUCAGCAUUCAAGGAAUGCUCACAAACAUCAAGCAAAAAAUGCAAAUGAUCUCGGCAACAGAAAUACUAUCUCAUAUCCUCGACCGGCUGCUUCUCCAUUGUGUACAUAAAGUAAAAAAUACCAGAUGCAUGCUUUUUAUUGUUGCAGUCAAUACUUGGAUGGACUUGGUAUCUUGAAGUGAAGUAUAUGUGUUCAAAUGUCUACCAUUUGUACAGUUGUUGAAUUCAGUAAUAUCUGAGUUGUGCAUUUUGAAUCAAUGGGGUCUCAAGGCCUUUAUACAAAGCUAAUAAAGGCUUCACUUACCUCUUGUUGAAGUGAAUGUGGGUUUUUCAUAUAUUUGGAGGAUUUAUUUCAUACAAAAUUUCGGUGUAUAUUUUCUAAGAAAAAUAAAGAAUCCAACUAAAUAUUUUAUAUUGUUUACAAAUAAUCUUAUAGUGAUUAUCCCAACUUGUUGAAGCUAUUUGUUGAUAAAUAAUUAUUUUAUUAAGAGAUGUUUGACUUUAGUUAAACAAUUUUUACUUUUCUCUCUUAUAAUAUAUAGUUAAAAUAUUACAAUUCUUCCCGGAGUAAUCCAGAAAGGUAAGCUCAAAUUUUUUUUCUAAAUGUCACACAACAAAUUUAUCCGGAAAAAUAACUGAAGUUAACAAUUUAACUUAAUUUUUAAUAAUUUUUAAAAUUAAAUUUCUAAAAAUAAAAGUAAAACAACUUAAUUUCAAAUAUAAUUAAAGUGCACAAAUUUAAGACAUAUUUUAAUAUAAAUAUAUAUUCAAUAUUUCUUAUUUAUUCAAGAAACAAUCAAUCAUUCAACAUCAAAGUAGGAGCUUUAACAACCAUUCUUAAUAAAUUUGACAUUGAAAAAAAACCGACCACUCAGAAUAUUAAAACAACCAUAUUCUUAUUGGACUGCCCAACUGGUUUGGUUUGUUUGAGUAAAUAUUUAAUAUUAUUGAAAUCUAGGUCAUAGUAUUGUUUUUGGGCUUCUAUAACCCACAAAGUAGUGCACCUAAAACAUGGAAUAAAACUUGGUUCCACUGUUUUGUUCAAUCAAAAUCAUUGCAGGAAACAUUAGUCAAAGACAAGUCCUCAUUACUUUUAUUUGACUUUUUUUUUCAUGUCUCAAGGAGGAUCCAAUCCAGAUGGUAACACUAAGGCCAGCAGGGUAACUGAUCACUGCUCCUUUUUCUUUUUUUCAUGUAGGCUUUGCAAGUUUGAUUAUAAUUUUCAAUCUCAUUACAUGAUGUUUAUUAUUAUUAUUAUUAUUAUUAUUAUUAUUAUUUGCAGCUUAUCAAUGAAUUCCCAGUGUUCACGAAUCAGAUUAACUUAUUAAUAGCAAAAUACGAGAAGCUAGUUGACACUAAAGCAACUCAGCUGGAUGAGAUCACUAGGUUGAAAGUCAUGGUUGCGGACAAAGAUGAAAAAAUCCGCAUACACAAACAACGGUGCCAUGAGCUUCAGAAAGAGGCGAACGAAUUGAGGGUGAACUUGGAGAAAACCAAGAAGGAACAUGAUGUGAAGGUAUCUGAGCUCAAGAAAAAGUUCAAGGCCAAGGAAGAGGAAGUAGGCAAAACGAUCAAUAAGGUUGAGGAGAUGGCUAACUCGAUGAUUUGGGAAAAGCUAAGAAGCUUGGACUUAGGCUCGGGUAUGAGUGUGUACUAGCAUUAGUCAUGUAUUGGAUGGGUGUUUUAAACAUCAUAUCUUAAAAUUUUGAUGGCUACUACCAUGAAUUUUUUUUGGUUGUAUUUUAACUAUAAAUUGUUGUUCUACUUGCUUGUGCAGACGCAGUUGGAAGACAGCCCAAAUACUUGUAGAUCAAGAAGUCGUCAUUCCUCAAGGUAAACUGUGAAAUUGAUGUUACACAUACUGAUACGAGCCAAGGAGGUGACACUCAAGGGAUUGUUUUUCCUAGUGGUCCAAUCACUCGAAGCAAGACACGACAAUUAAAAUCAAAGAUGAAUGCUUUUGUCCAAGACUUUGUUGCUACAAAUUUAAGUCAUCAUGUUCGUGACGUUGACAAAUACGGGAAUGUAAUUCACUGGACCAAUCUUGGAAUAGUGAAAGCCCAUAAAUUGGUGGAUUAAUGUAUCUUAUUAUUAUUAUUAUUAUUUACUUAAUUCUCAUUGGUUGGGACACAUCACUUAUGAGUUAAGUAAUUUUAUUGGUUAGGUUAUUAUUUAUUUAUUUUCUUAGAUAAUUUUAAAGAGUUUUUAUUAGGAUUCAAUUACUCUUGUAAUUUGCCUAUAAAUAGGCUUGCUUUCUACACAUUGGAGGAGGAAUAAAAAGAGAGUUUUUGUUUUCUUCCAAGGCACACAGGGGAUAGGNNNNNNNNNNNNNNNNNNNNNNNNNNNNNNNNNNNNNNNNNNNNNNNNNNNNNNNNNNNNNNNNNNNNNNNNNNNNNNNNNNNNNNNNNNNNNNNNNNNNNNNNNNNNNNNNNNNNNNNNNNNNNNNNNNNNNNNNNNNNNNNNNNNNNNNNNNNNNNNNNNNNNNNNNNNNNNNNNNNNNNNNNNNNNNNNNNNNNNNNNNNNNNNNNNNNNNNNNNNNNNNNNNNNNNNNNNNNNNNNNNNNNNNNNNNNNNNNNNNNNNNNNNNNNNNNNNNNNNNNNNNNNNNNNNNNNNNNNNNNNNNNNNNNNNNNNNNNNNNNNNNNNNNNNNNNNNNNNNNNNNNNNNNNNNNNNNNNNNNNNNNNNNNNNNNNNNNNNNNNNNNNNNNNNNNNNNNNNNNNNNNNNNNNNNNNNNNNNNNNNNNNNNNNNNNNNNNNNNNNNNNNNNNNNNNNNNNNNNNNNNNNNNNNNNNNNNNNNNNNNNNNNNNNNNNNNNNNNNNNNNNNNNNNNNNNNNNNNNNNNNNNNNNNNNNNNNNNNNNNNNNNNNNNNNNNNNNNNNNNNNNNNNNNNNNNNNNNNNNNNNNNNNNNNNNNNNNNNNNNNNNNNNNNNNNNNNNNNNNNNNNNNNNNNNNNNNNNNNNNNNNNNNNNNNNNNNNNNNNNNNNNNNNNNNNNNNNNNNNNNNNNNNNNNNNNNNNNNNNNNNNNNNNNNNNNNNNNNNNNNNNNNNNNNNNNNNNNNNNNNNNNNNNNNNNNNNNNNNNNNNNNNNNNNNNNNNNNNNNNNNNNNNNNNNNNNNNNNNNNNNNNNNNNNNNNNNNNNNNNNNNNNNNNNNNNNNNNNNNNNNNNNNNNNNNNNNNNNNNNNNNNNNNNNNNNNNNNNNNNNNNNNNNNNNNNNNNNNNNNNNNNNNNNNNNNNNNNNNNNNNNNNNNNNNNNNNNNNNNNNNNNNNNNNNNNNNNNNNNNNNNNNNNNNNNNNNNNNNNNNNNNNNNNNNNNNNNNNNNNNNNNNNNNNNNNNNNNNNNNNNNNNNNNNNNNNNNNNNNNNNNNNNNNNNNNNNNNNCUUCUUGUGUUAGCAGAUAUUAAAGGCACGCACAAUUCCUUCAUCCGUGUAGCCUCCAUUACAAAUUGCCUCGUCUAGUUUAUUGGCCUCUUAGAGCAAUUAGGGUCUUCAUUGUCUCUUUGAAGUUUGCACCUCCGUUAUUUGAUCUUGAUUAGUAACCCUCUCCAAACAUAUUUACAAGUUUUGAAUCAUUCAGAGAGUUAUUCUUUUGAGAGCUAACGAGUGAGGUUAUUAUUAUUUUUUCUUUCUUGUUCCUGUUUGUUUGAUCUUUCACAGAUACCAUGCCGCUCACUAGAUCCCAAACUAGUAAAAAUGAAGAGGAUGAGCAAAAAAGAGAGAACGAUCCUUUGGUCGAGUUGUUACAAAAAGAGAUGAAAAAGUUGCAAACUCAAUUCGAACAUCGCAUGACCCAGAUGUUACAAGUGCAAAGGGAGUAUCUUGAUACAAAACUUACAACUCAAGAGAGAUACAUUGCCGAUAAUUACAAGAAGUUGAACGAAGCCUUUAUAAGCCAAUCAAAUUCGCAAGAUCAAACUUUUAAACGAAGGGAGGACCAUGUUUUUGAUGAUGACUUUGAGUCCGAGUAUGUACCUAGAGAAAGGUUGGAACGAAACGAUGACACCCCUAAACCAAAAUUUCCUUCUUUCUCAGGAAAGAAUGAUCUUGAUGCUUACCUUGAUUGGGAGGAAAAGAUGGAAGCAGUCUUUGCUUGUUACAAUUACUCUGAUGAGAAAAAGGUAACAUACGCUGUCACUGAGUUCAUUAAUUAUGCACUAACAUGGUGGAAUCAAUUAUGUAAAAGCAGGAUUCUUUAUAGAGAGCAACCUGUUACUACUUGGGUUGAAAUGAAGCGCAUCUUGCGAAAACGGUUUGUUCCACCAUACUAUUAUCGAGAACUCCAUCAAAGACUCCAACAUCUUGUUCAAGGAGAUAGAUCUGUGGAUGACUACUACAAAGAGAUGGAGACUAUUCAGAUUAGAGCCAAUCUUGUUGAAGAGGCUGAGGUGACUAUGGCUAGAUUCCUUAUCGGCCUAAAGCCUGAGAUUGCAAAUCGAGUUGAGUUACAACACUAUAUGGAUGUUGAAGAGAUGCUUCAAACUGCACUCACCAUUGAAAAGCAAUUACGAAAGAAAGGGACAACGAGGGGUGUUAGUUCAGUUUCUAAUCCUGCUUGGAGAGGAAAUUGGCAAAAACAAGAUGAUAGAUUGUGGAAUGGGAGAGAUGCACAGUUCAAGUCAAAUGAGCCUAGAACUUACUCCAAAGAUAUAGGUAUACCUAAUUCACUUAAAGGUUCUACUUAUACUAAUCGAGCUCCAUCUUCUUCUUCUACUUCUCCUAGUGCCAUUAAGCAGCCAAAAUAUAUUACCUGCUUCAAAUGCCAAGGAAUGGGUCACUAUGCUCGAGAAUGCCCUAAUAAAAAGUCAUUGGUGAUUCGAGAAGAUGGCGAGGUUGAUUUUGAGUCUGAUAACGAAGAUGAGAUGCCUCCUUUGGAAGAUGCUGAUGAUGUGCAUACUCAUGAUGGGUAUGAAGAAUACUUGGAGUAUGGUGAGAAAGCACUUGUUGCUCGAAGGGCUUUAAAUGUCCAGUUUAAAGAGGAAGGGCGUGAACAAAGAGAUAACAUUUUCCACAUGAGAUGUUUGAUUAGUGGACAACCUAGUUCAUUGAUCAUCGAUAGUGGAAGUUACACCAAUGUGGUAAGUUCUUCCCUUGUUAAGAAACUUGGCCUACCUUGUGUGAAGCAUCCAAGGUCAUACCGCUUGCAAUGGUUGAAUGAUAGUGGGAAGGUAAAAGUAUCUAAACAAUGCUUAGUUUCAUUUUCCAUUGGUAGAUACUCUGAUAAAUUUUUGUGUGAUGUUGUUCCAAUGCAAGCUGGGCACAUAUUACUUGGGCGGCCAUGGCAGUUUGAUCGACGAGUAAAUCAUGAUGGUUUCCUUAACCAAUAUACCUUUGUGUUCCUUAGAAAGAAGUUUACUUUGGCCCCACUUCCUCCUAAAGAAGUCUACAAUGAUCAACUCAAACUUGCUAGUGAGAUGGGUAAGGGAAGUGAGGUAAAACCAUUGAAAAAGGCUGAAAGUAAAUAGGCCCUUAGUGUUAAAAGCCAACUUAAAGGCCCAACAUUGGUGAGUGAUUGCACACACAAGUCACGAGAUAAGAAAGUGAGUUUAUUCACUAGGUUUCGAGAUAUCAAAUUUGCUCUUUGUACAAAACAAACAUUUGUAAUUAUUAGGUUUAGGGAAAACUUUGUUUUGACUAACCCUAAUACACAUUUGCCUAGUUGUUUUGUUGAUCUUUUGCAGGAUUUUGAGGAUGUAUUUCCUUCUGAAAUGCCUAAGGGAUUACCUCCUUUACGAGGGAUUGAACAUCAAUUUGACUUUGUGCCUGGUUCGAGUAUUCCGAAUAGACCAGUCUAUCGAAGUAAUCCUGAAGAAACCAAGGAGUUGUAAAGGCAAAUUGAAGAUCUCUUAGAGAAAGGGUUGAUUCGUGAGAGUCUAAGCCCUUGUGCGGUCCCUAUACUUUUCGUCCCAAAAAAAGAUGGUUCUUGGAGAAUGUGUGUUGAUUGUUGUGCUGUCAACAAGAUCACGGUAAAGUAUCGAUAUCCAAUUCCUCGAUUAGAUGAUAUGUUGGAUAAGCUUAAUGGUGCAUGCAUUUUCUCUAAAAUUGACUUAAAAAGUGGUUACCAUCAAAUAAGAAUGAAAUAAGGUGAUGAAUGAAAAACUGCUUUUAAGACUAAGUAUGGCAUGUAUGAGUGGUUAGUCAUGUCAUUUGGCUUAACUAAUGCUCCUAGCACAUUCAUGAGACUAAUGAACCACAUACUUAGACCUUUUUUAGGAAAAUUUGUCGUUGUGUAUUUUGAUGACAUACUGAUUUAUAGCAAAACUUUGAAUGAUCAUGUUAGGCAUGUUAAAUUAGUAUUGGAUGUGUUAAGGCAUGAACGACUCUUUGCUAAUCUUGAAAAAUGCACCUUUUGUAUGGAUAAGCUUGUUUUUUUGGGUUUUGUGAUAAGUUCUACAGGAAUCCAUGUGGAUGAGGAGAAGGUAAAGGCAAUUAAAAAAUGGCCUAUCCCUAAAAUUGUUUCUGAGGUAAGGUCUUUCCUUGGGUUAGCCGGUUUCUACCGUAGGUUUGUUCGUAACUUUUCCACAAUUGCUUCGCCUUUGACUGCACUUAUUAAAAAGGAUGUAUCUUUUCAUUGGACAGAUAAGCAAGAAUUAGCAUUUAAUGAACUUAAAGAUAAAUUGUGUAAUGCUCCUAUUCUUGUUUUACCUAAUUUUGAAAAGACCUUUGAGAUUGAAUGUGAUGCNNNNNNNNNNNNNNNNNNNNNNNNNNNNNNNNNNNNNNNNNNNNNNNNNNNNNNNNNNNNNNNNNNNNNNNNNNNNNNNNNNNNNNNNNNNNNNNNNNNNAAACCACUAGCCUACUUUAGUGAGAAACUUGGUGGAGCACAUUUGAACUAUUCGACCUAUGAUAAAGAGUUGUAUGCCUUGGUAAGGGCAUUAGAAGUUUGGCAACAUUACCUUUUACCAAAGGAGUUUGUGAUUCACACUGACAAUGAAUCACUUAAGCACUUAAAGGGACAAGGUAAGUUGAACAAGCGACAUGCGAGGUGGGUUGAAUUCAUUGAAUCUUUUCAUUAUGUUAUAAGGUAUAAGCAAGGUAAAGAUAAUAUUAUGGCUGAUGCUCUAUCAAGGAGGUACACUUUACUUAGUACUUUGCAUACUAAUUUAUUAGGUUUUGAGUAUCUCAAAGAUUUAUAUGCCACUGAUUCUGAUUUUUCAAGCAUUUAUGACGCAUGUGAACAUGGUGCAUUUCACAAAUUUUAUAAGCAUGAUGGCUAUCUUUUUCGAAAUAAUAGACUAUGCUUACCAAAUUGUUCAAUGCGAGAAUUGUUGGUUCGAGAGGCUCAUAGUGGUGGUCUUAUGGGUCAUUUUGGAGUCACUAAGACUUAUGAUGUUUUACAUGAGCAUUUUUAUUGGCCUAACAUGCGAAAACUUGUUGAGAAAAUUUGCUCUACUUGCAUUACUUGUAAACAAGCUAAAUCCACUGUGAUGCCUCAUGGUCUAUAUACUCCUCUUCCUGUUCCUAGUUCACCUUGGACUGACAUUUCAAUGAAUUUUAUAAUAGGUUUACCAAGGACAAAGCAUGGACGAGAUAGCAUCUUUGUGGUUGUGGAUCGAUUUUCUAAAAUGGCUCAUUUCAUUCCAUGCUAUAAGACUGAUGAUGCAACCCAUGUUGCCGAUCUAUUUUUUCGUGAAAUUGUGAGAUUACAUGAAAUCCCAAGGACUAUCGUUUCUGAUAGAGAUGCAAAAUUUCUUAGUCACUUUUGGAAGGUGUUAUGGGGUAAGUUAGGUACUAAACUACUUUACUCUACUACAUGCCACUCUCAAACUGAUGGUCAAACCGAGGUGGUAAAUCGAGUUUUGGGAUCUUUGCUUAGAGCCAUAAUAGGUAAGAAUGUUAAAUCUUGGGAAGAAUGGAUACCCUAUGUUGAGUUUGCUUAUAAUCAUUCUGUUCAUUCUUCCACAGGUUUUACUCCUUUUGAGAUUGUAUAUGGCUUUAAUCCACUUACUGUUUUAGAUUUGCUUCCUUUACCUUUGAAUGAGAUUGUUAAUUUAGAUGGUGAAAGGAAAGCUGAUUUAGUGAAAGAGAUCCAUGAGAAGGCUCGUAAAGCCAUUGAGAAAAAGAAUGAGUCCAAUGCACAUCGAGCUAAUAAAGGGCGAAAGCAAGUCUUGUUUGAACCUGGAGAUUGGGUAUGGGUACAUAUGAGGAAGGAACGAUUUCCUUCUAAGAGAAAGAAUAAACUUGAUGCACGAGGGGAUGGACCAUUCCAAGUACUCUAGAAAAUAAAUGACAAUGCUUAUCAUAUUGAUCUUCCUGGUGAGUAUAGUGUUAGUGCUACUUUCAAUGUUUCUGAUCUUUCUCCUUUUAAAUUUGAUGCAGGUUCAGAUUCGAAGACGAAUCUUCUUGAAGAGGGGGAGAAUGAUACGAGCCAAGGAGGUGACACUCAAGAGGUUGUUUUUCCUAGUGGUCCAAUCACUCGAAGCAAGGCACGACAAUUAAAAUCAAAGAUGAAUGCUUUUGUCCAAGACUUUGUUGCUACAAAUUUAAGUCAUCAUGUUCGUGACGUUGACAAAUACGGGAAUGCAAUUCACUGGACCAAUCUUGGAAUAGUGAAAGCCCAUAAAUUGGUGGAUUAAUCUUUUAUGUAUCUUAUUAUUAUUAUUUACUUAAUUCUCAUUGGUUGGGACACAUCACUUAUGAGUUAAGUAAUUUUAUUGGUUAGGUUAUUAUUUAUUUAUUUUCUUAGAUAAUUUUAAAGAGUUUUUAUUAGGAUUCAAUUACUCUUGAAAGAGUUUUAUUAGGAUUCAAUUACUCUUGUAAUUUGCCUAUAAAUAGGCUUGUUUUCCACACAUUGGAGGGGGAAUAAAAAGAGAGUUUUUGUUUUCUUCCAAAUUUGUGUGAGGUAAAUUUUUGAGAGUAGAGUGAUUCUUCUCUUGCUAUUUAAUUUGGAGUUUGUUACUUUCAAGGGUAUUUCAGAGUUACAAAUAUUAAAAUUUCUUUCCCGUUCAUCGGUGUUUCUAGAGGUUCUUCUUCUAGGGGUUUCGUAGGGAGCCGCUCAAUCAUUGGCGUUUUUGGUUACAAGUUAACCAAGGGUUCCAUAGGGAAAAUCUAUCCUUAUAUUAUUAUUAUUUAACUAAUUUUAUUUAUUCUCGUUUUAUUUCUAAUUUGUGUUUCUCUUGUGUCUAGAUCCGGGGUUUCCGCAUCACAUACAUACAUACAGACCCUUUUGAGUGGUUAUUAGCAAAUAAGAUGUUUUGGAUACCAAUUAAUUUUGUCAUAUUGUUGAAAAAUGGUCAACCAUGCUGCUGUUAUGUUUAUGUUUUUGUUAAAGUACAUGCUAUUAUGAUGAUUUUGUUGAAUGCAUACAGCUUGUAUGCAUGCUGCAGCAAUUGUGCAUGUUGUAGCAACAUAUUUUCUGUUUUAGUUGUAAUGUAAUUUAGUUUGGUUGAAAAUGAACUUCGAUGUUGAUGUUUUGAUAGGAUGAGUGAGUGAUAAGUCAGCUUAUCCAUGUGUACAAGCAAUGUUUUAAUAAUUCCAAUGCUAAUUAGUGGGGUUAGUUGAAUAUUUGGUGAUGUAUUUUGACUAUAAAUGUAUUGUUUUCAUAUUGAAUGAGCAAGCAUAUCAGUUGUGUAAAGCAGAUUGCUUCCUUGCUGCACGUUUGUGAGCAAGUAAAUUGUUCUUUGUUUCUUCCUCAUUUGUUCUCUGUAUUGUUCUCUGUAUUGUUCUCUUCUUUUGCUACAGUCAAAAACCCAACAAAUUGUAUCAAUAAGCCCAAGUCUUUGAAGGCUUGUUUUUGCUUCUACUGCUUGUUAAGAAAGACAAAAAGCUAUUAAAGCCUAUCAUCUUUGAGGGCUACUUGUAAAAAAAAGACAACAACAGCUCACCCCUGUGAGACUCCCAAACAAGCUUGGGAUAAACUGAAGGAGGAGUUGAUGAAGUAUGUGCAUGAAGACACUAAGGCAAGAUGUAUUUGAAGGCAAGUUGCCAACCAAGGCUGUGAAGGACAAGAAGACUCCAUUUGAAGAACAAAUAUUUGGCACAAAAGACUAGGAUAGUCAAUUGUGUGAGCCAAAUUUUGUUGAUAAUGAGGCGAAGGUUAAAGAUGAGUUGAAAAUGAAUUGUUUAAGUAGAGUCAGCUUGAAAGAAAGCAUCUUGGGAUUGCUAAGCUUAAAAAAGAACUGGUGAACGAUUGGUAUUUGUAGCAUGGAGGUCAAUGAGGAGUGUUGAAAAAUGGUCAAGCUUUUAAGGCAUAGCAUUGAUUAUGCCACUCUGUUAAACAGAGUCUCGAGUCUAUGGCGACCUUCAAAAUCGUUUCGAAUCAUGGACGUGGAAAAUGGGCAUUUCCUCGUAAAAUUGCAAAGCAAAGAAGAUUAUGGCAAAGUCCUUACCCAAUGACCUUGGAUUGUGUUCGAUCAAUACCUUACGGUGUAGCCAUGGACAAUGGAAUUUAACACGUUUCAGCCUUUCUCAACGAUGGUUAUGGCGUGGAUACAACUACAGGCCUCCUCGGCUAUCUAUAUAACAAAAAGAUCCUUGAGGAGAUUGAUGGUUUAGGCUCCAUUCUUCAUUGCGGCUGAGAUGUGCUUUUAGCCAAAAAAGCACUUUUCUUUAAAAAGCAAUGGAGAACACCUUCCAUUUGAUGGCAAAAUAUCAGCUUCUUAGAAGGACUUUUGGGCAGAUGAAAAGUAGAUUUUUUUAGCUUUUCAGCCAAAAAGUCCUUUUGGGUUGGUUACUUUACCUUUUUAGCCACACGACGCUGGCUCCCUCUGCUGCUACACUGCUCUCUGCUCUUUGCUAUUUGCUGGUUCCCUCUGUUGCUACACUGCUCUCUGCCCUCUGUUUUGUUCUGCCCUCUGCUGGUGAGUUUAUCUUUUUCUUCUCUUCUUCUCUUCUUCUGUAUAUUGAUUGAUUUUCGUCUGUGAUUGAUUUUCCUGAGGAUUAAGUUGGAUAUAUUUUUUUGUUGGAUAUAUUUGGUUAAACUUAUGUUGCUGGAUCUUUAAGAAGAUAGCUAUGAUUGAAAACAAAACCUUGAAACUUGUCUGUGGAGACAGAUCCCACGGAUCAUUCUUUUCUUUUGGCACAUUUUCUUAAUGUUUAUCUAAGAAAAGAAUUAGAUCUCGUGAGUCGUGACCGCUGCUGUAACUUGGAGAUUCUAGAAGAGGCACAUUUGUCAUUGGUUUAUUUAAUUUAAAAUUGGAAUAAAAAAGAAGAGGGGCAUAAAUAUUCCUGUGCUGUGCUGCCUUCCUCAGAAGGGAAAAAAGGGUCCAUUUUGCGUCGAAUUUUCAACGGUAGCCGUAGGGUUCCAAGCACUAACUGCCGAAAUUGUUGAAAUCAUGUCCAAUUCCAAAAGUCUAACCAGUCACCCCCAUUGAAUCAGUAGUCAACUCUAACUCCCAUCCAUGCCACCCUGACAUUGAAUCUAUUCUUCCCAGUUUCAUCCAAGUUCUCAUUCAAAUUUAUAUAUCUAGACUCAUUCCAUGUUGGAAACAAGCAUACAUUCUCCACGCUAUGAGUCAUUGCAUGAUGGAAAAUUAAGUAACUAUAUAUGAACGUGGAUCAAAGAGACUGGCAAGUUGGGGAAUACCUUUUAUCGGACAACAAAAACUCUUCAAUGCAUACACUAAACGAGCUGAUUAUUCCAAGCCAAAAUUUAAACAAUAGGCAGGUACCCAUUGGUGCUGGGCUUGACUCUUAUAGCCUUUCCCCUAAUUAUAGGUUGAGAUAAUUAUGAAUCAUAUUGAAAAUUGAAAGGAAAGCCAAGGCCUUGGUCUUUUUUCCCCAGAUGCAGUAGCCAAUUGUUUUAUUAGUUGCUUCCUUCCAAGUAAACGUUUUAGUGGAGUUUAGAAAUUAAAUUGUGGGCUGAAAAUGAUUCUCACAAUAAAUUUUUGUUCAUGUAUAUAGUUAAUGUAUAUAGUUAAAUUUUUUGUUCAUGUAUAUAGUUAAUUUUUUAAUCAUGUAUAUAGUUAGAUUUUUUAUACUGUUUUUUGUUAAUAUUGUUUUUUGUUUAUGUAUAUAGUUAAAUUUUUUAUACACAUGUAAACAUAUAUAUUUAUGUGACAUUUGAUUUUCUUCAUUGCUUUACUGGCUGAAACGAAUCUGUUCGUAUACAAAAUAGAUGAGUACUUCGGCGAUUGAAGUUAGUGAUGAAAAAGUGAAAGUAAUGUGGGAUAAGAGAUUGACAAACAUAUUUUGUGAUAUUUGUAUUAAAGAGAUAUUAAAAGGCAAUAGGCCUGGUACUCAUUUCACAAAAGAUGGAUGGUUGAAAAUAAUGACCAACUUUGAGAAAGAAACGGGCAAGAUUUUUUCACAAAGACAACUUAAAAAUAGGUGGGAUGCCUUAAAAAAAGAAUGGAAAGCUUGGAAGAAACUUAAAGGCGAAGAUACUGGUUUAGGGUGGAAUCCUAUAAAAAGAACCGUUGAUGCAUCUAAUGAAUGGUGGGAGAGUAGGGUCCAGAUACAUUAAAAAUUCUAAAUAUUUUUUAUUUUUUUUAUUUAUGAGGUUAUUGUCAAUUACUAUUAUUAAUCAAUCAUUUUAUAUACAGGUUGUGCCUGAAGCUAAAAAAUUUAAAACAUCGGGCAUUGAUCCUGAAUUCGAAGGGAAGUUGGAUCAAAUGUUCAUGGGGAUAGUUGCAACAGGUGAUAAAGCAUGGGCACCUUCUUCUAGUACACUCCGUAGUGAUUUUUUUGAGGAUGUUAACAACGAAAUACCUAAAGAGAGUGAAGAAGAAAAUAUGAGAAAUGAUGUUCACAUUUCAAAUGAUGUUCAAAUUGAUGGAAACAGUCAAAAAAGAAAAAAUCCUGAGACGUCAAGUCCACAUUUUAAAACUGGAAGAAAGAAAUCCUCAAAGCAAAUUGGAGGGGCUGCAAGAUUGUCUAGUCAAAUAGAAAAACUAUGCAAUGCAGCUGACAAUAUGAGUCAAGUCACAUCUAGUUUGACUCCUGUUAUGGAUCCAUAUGGUAUUCCACAAACAGUCAAAAUGCUUGACAGAAUGUCGGAAGAAGUUCCAGAAGCUAGUCCGCUAUACUUUUUCGCACUUAGAUUAUUGCUCAAUAAGGCCAAGCGAAUUAUGUUUUUAUCAAUUAAUCCCAAGAUUAGAGCUUUGUGGCUUAAAACGGAAAUGAAGGAUAGUUGAAAUUUUUUUUAUCUUCUAGGGUUCAAAUAUAUCUAUUUAUGUGUAAUCUUCUAGUUAUAAUGGCUUAAGCAAAAUAUGUUUUUAUCAAUAGUUAUUUAUGUUUAGUUUUUAGAUAUUGAACUUAUGUUCUACUUAUUUAUGUGUAAUCUAGUUUUAUUAAUAGUUGUUUAUGUUUGGUCUUUAGAUAUUGAAUUUAUGUUCCACUUAUUUUUUACUAAAUUAGUUUUAUUAAUAGUUGUUUAUAUGUGAUUUUGGAUAUAAAAUUUAUUCACAGGUGAUGAGUAUAGUUGAGGAUUAUAGCGGUGAUGAAAGUGAUGAUGAAAGGGAAAAGAAAGAUUUUACAACGCAUGGAAUGUUUUAACCGAAUAUUUGUUGUUGCAUCUUCCUCCGUGCAAUUAUAUUACGAGAAGUAUAUAUUGAAGCAACCAUGCAUGGAUUCAAAACAAUCAGGUGAGACAUGGAUCCGAGAGAUCCUUGACGGUCACGAAUCACGUUGUAUGAUUAAUUUUAGGAUGUCUAAAAUGGUAUUCACAAGUUUGCUAAGAGUUUUGGAGACAAGAUACAACUUGCAAACUUCAAGAAACACAUCUUCUAGUGAAAUAUUGGGAAUUUUUUUAUACAUCCUGGCCACCGGUGCAAAAGUUUUCCAAUGUCGAGAAAGAUUUCAAAGGUCUGGAUCAACAAUAAGUCGAUACUUUGCAGUUGUGUUUGAGAAAUCAAGGAUGACCACUGAUCUAAUUGCACCCGAAGAUCCUUUUUUUAGCUCAAUACCCGAAUAAAUACGUAAUGAUUCUAGAUAUAUGCCGCAUUUUAAGGUUAAAAUUUAAUUUUAUAUUAUUAUAUUUUAAUAUAUUUGGUCGACUAAAAAUAUGCACGAGAGUAAUAUGAUUAUUUGUUCAGGAUUGCAUAGGUGCAAUUGAUGAUACUCACAUUGCGGCUAUUCUUCCACCAAAUGAACAAAUUCCCUAUAUUGGAAGAAAAGGUAUCCCGACUCAAAAUUUUAUGGCAGUAUGUGAUUUUAAUAUGUGUUUCACAUUUGUCAUGGAUGGAUGAGAAGGAUCGGCACAUGACACUAGAAUAUUUCUUGAUGCAAUUCGAGAUCCAAAAUACAAAUUUCCGCACCCUCCAAAUGGUUAAAUGUUUUUAUUUAUAUGUGAUUUUUUAAAUAAUAAAGUAUAAGUUCUUUAAUUAUUUUUUUAUUAAAAAAAUUCUUGAAUUAAUUGUUUGUUAUAUUAUGACUUGUAGGAAAAUAUUAUCUUGUUGAUUCUGGAUAUCCUCAAAUGAAAGGUUAUCUUGGACCAUAUAGAGGUCAAUGAUAUCAUUUACUUGACUUCCGAAGAGGUAGACCGAUUUCUGAUAAAGAAGAGAUAUUCAAUCAUUCACAUUCAUCAUUACGUAGUGUGAUUAAAGGAACUUUUGGUGUUUUGAAAAAAAAAAUGGGUCAUUUUAAGGGAUAUGCCAAGUUAUAGUUUUGAAAAGCAAAUGAUGAUCGUUGUUGCUACAAUAACGAUACACAAUUUUAUCUGAAAACAUGUCGGCCGAAAUGAUGCAGAUUUUAUAGAAUACGAAGACAUUAACUCGGCAUAUGAGAAUAAUAUUGAUUCAGAAAAUGCGCAUGGUCCACAAAGUGAUGAUGAUGACGACGACGACGAUGAUAGUGAUGAUGACGGUGAAUCAAACAAUUUUAGUGGUUUUGAAAUUGAAUUGACAAGAGAUGCUAUAGCUUCUAGUUUAAUGAAUUCACUUUAAAUUGUAAAUGCUAUUGUAAAAUUUUUAGUAUUUAUAUCUGAUAUAUAAAUAUUAUCCCCUUUUUAAAACUUCAACCCAAAUAUAUCUAAUAUUUUAAUUUGUUAGGUUUGUGUUUUCUAUGUUAUGUUAAUAUCUAAUAUGUGUUAUAUAUUCAAAUACAUUUUAAAAUAAAAUAAUACAAAUGUGUUAAAAGUAUUAAUUAAAAAUAAAAAAUAAUUUUUAUAUUAAUAUAAUUGUGUCAAUAUCUAAUUACAAAUAUUUAAUUAUUAUAUUUAAAUAUUUAAAUCUAGUUUAUAUAUUCUAAUUAAAUUUAAUAAAUAAUUAAUAUUAAUUAUUUAGAAAUAUUUAAAAUUAAUAUUAUAUAUUAAAAUAUUAACAGUAAGUUAUAAUAAAUUAUUUUUUUAUAUUUUUACUAAAAUAUCGCAAUAUUAAUUAAUUUAAACAUUAUUUAAAUACAUAUUUAUUAUUUUAUAAUAUCAUGUCUAAAAUAGACAUUUUAUUGUUUAAAAGUACUUUUUGACAGCAAUAUAAAACAUUUAAAAUUUCAAAAACACUUCUUAAAAAGUACAUCUCCACAGCACUUUUCAAAAGUAAUGAAAAACUAAGCCUUAAUAAGUAAGGCUGCAAUUUUAACACUGAUAAUAGACUAAGGGGACGUUUUACAAAGAUGGUUAUUUUUGUGAAUUUAGAUAAACCCUUAACAUCCCAGAUUAUGAUUAACGAUAGACUUCAAAAAAUUGAAUAGGAAUCCUUACCGUCCAUUUACUUCUCUUGCGGGCGGUAUGGUCAUGUGAAGGGGCUUUGUUCUUUCUCGAAUGGGGAUAAAGAUGGAUCUGGUGAAAAAGAGGGGUUGAAAGUCACAGAUUCGGUAAUAGAUUUUUCGGUGGAAGACUCUGCAAAUACGGUCCUUGGAUGGUUGUUGAAAGACGUACUCGCUGGAAUGUGAAGGAUACUCGUAAACCGACGGUGAAUUUUUUGAUUAACGGUGAAAGGGAGUCUAAAUUCAGGGCACUUUCUACGAGGGUUAAUUGAAAAAGGGGAAAAGGAAGAAUUAAUGGCAGAUAUUUCGGGAUUAAAUUUCAGAAAAGCUGAUUUCAUUAAAAGAUUAGAAAGGAAGAAUUUUAAAGGGAAAACAAACAGGAUUGUUGGGCUGGAUGAGGAAGCAAUGGGUGUAGGCAAUGUGGGUUGUGGGAGAUUAAUUGGGUCAAGUAAACAGGCUGAAAAUAUGGUUGUUGUGUCUAAGGAAUAUGGGUCGUCUAAGGUGGGGAAUUCGGCUUUGGGCUUGAGUCAAAUGGGGGUAGCUAGGGGUGAGCAAAAUUCGAUUCGACUCGAAAAAAUAGAAAAAAAAUUCGAAUUUCGAGUUAAACGAAUCGAGUUAUUCGAGUUAUUUGAAUCAACUCGAAUUUUUUUUUUUUGAAUUUCGAGUUCGAAUCGAGUUGAGUUUUCGAAUUCGAAUAACUCGAAUAAUUUGAAUAAUUCGAAUAUGAAACUAUAAUAUUUUACAGUUUUACCCUAAACUGCCAAACUUUUUUACUUUUCCCUCAAAACUUUUACUCCUUCCCACUUUUCCCCCAAAACUUUUACUCCCCUCCCCUCCCAACCCCCAAUCUACCCAAAAUCCAUUUCCCACCAAAAUUUUACUCUUCCAUUAAUUUUUUUUCAAAAUUUUACUCUCAAAAACCCUCAAAACUUUUUAUUUUCCCCCAAAAUUUUUACUCCCUCCCACUUUUCCCCUAAAACUUUUAUUCUCUUCCCAUCCCACCUCCCAUCUACCCCAAACCCUCCCCCUCCAAUUUUUUUUUUAAUAUUUUUCCUCCAAAAUUUUACUCCCCCUAUUUACUUUCCCUCAAACUUUUAUUCCCCAAAACUUUUUAUUUUUCCCCUAAACUUUUACUUCUCCACCAUUUACUCUCAAAUAAAAAUCAAAAUUAUCCAAAAAAAAUCACUAAACAUAAAUAGUAAUAAUUUUAUUUAUAUAUACUAUUUAUAUUAUUAAAUUAAAUUUCACAUUUUAUAUUAUUUAUAUUAUUGAAUUGUUUAGUCAUAUUGAAUAUUUAUAUUAAAAUUGAAUUCUUAAUUAUGCCAUAAAAUCUUCGUGUUAAAAUUUUAUAUUGGUAUCAAUUUUAAAUUUUAUUUUUAAAAUAAAUUUUAUUAAAAAAUCAUAUUUUUAUAUUUAAUAUAUUUUUAAUUCCAAAAUACAUAGUGACAAGAAUCCGAAGAUAAUUGAAACAACUAAACAAACAAAUAAGCUAACCAGUAUAUAAAAAAUUAAUAAAUAAAUUAUGAGGUGAUGAAAGUUAAUAAAAAUUUGAUUAAGGUGGACAAAUUUUAUUACGAUGGGUGACAAUGGUUACAAUGACCCAAAAUUAUUUUUUAAAAUUUAACUCGAACAAAUAUAUUCGAUUCGAUUCGAUUCGAGUUCCAUCUCACUCGACUCGAUUCGAGAAAACUUCAAAUAAAGUUAGGAUGAUAAAAUGAGAUUCGAAAACUCGAUUAACUCGAAAAUUUUUGAUUCGAUUCGAUUCGAUUCGAUCGAAUGCUCACCCCUAGGGGUAGCUGAUGGGAAGGAAUUAAUUGGAAACCAAGGCCCAAGUUCUAGCGGUUUGGGCGGCGAAUUCUGGCUCAUGUGAAAUUACCACUUCACUGGGCCAUGCAUCAUCAAUACUUUGGACAAGCUCGAUGGAGCUGGGUUACUUUCGGUACCUAUUAAACAUGCAGCAAUGGAGCCGGGUAUCAUAAUGUUGCCUACAUAAGAGUACGAGGGUCUAGUAAGCAAAGCUAGACACGAAGAGCUUAAAUUAAUGUAGAGUCGCCACUAACCAAUUAGGGCUGGAUUGGUUAGCCACCUAUCGUCUAAAAGUUUAGAAUUAAUACUACGAAAAAUCCUAAGAGUCUAGACUCGAUCUCAUCACCAAAUUUUGGGUUCGGGAGUACGGUUACGUGUGGGGAAGGUUAUAGCACCCCACAAUGCCUAUCUGGGGAUAGUCCUACAGGGUCUUGAGAGCUAGGUUUUUUAUUUAUUUAAGCAUAUUAAUGUCUUAAUCUAGGCUAAAAUCUUAUGUAAAUCUUAAAUAAAAACUCUAAAGAAAAUGUCUACGAUUCAAUUGUAACUCGAUUAAGAUGUGUUCACCAAACUUAUCUAAUUUGAAACUUAAAUUAUAGAUUUUUACUUUUAACGGGAACCCUAAAGGAUACCUAAAUAAUUCUAGUAAAAUACCUUCAAUUCUUAAAAUUAAUUCUAUUUUAGAAUUCUUAAAAAAACGUAGAAAUUACCAAUGAAUUAAGAGAAAUAUUAAAAUACAUCUACAACUUAUUCGAUCUUUUAUUUUUAUUUUUAUUAUUUUUAACAGAUUUAAUUAAUAACAUUAAACCUAUCAAGAUCUUACAAAAGUAUCCUAUGUUGGAUUUAUGAUUUAUCUUACUUUAAAAUUUUUGAUCUAAGGUUUAAAUUCGUCAAAAUCUUAAAAUAAUAUAUCUUAAAUAACAUUUAUUAGCUUUCUUAAAAAGUUCUAAAGUAAAAUACUUAGACAGACCUACUCAUGAUUUACAAUUCACCUACAAAAAUAUUUAGUUUUAAUCUUAAACAAAUUCCUAAAGAAUAUUUACAUAUUAAUUUAAGAUUCUAAAGAGUAAUUCUAUACGAAUUUAAAAUUAGUUUAAAACCCUAAAAAAAUAUCCUACGUACUGUUUAUAAUUUUUCUAGGGUAAAUGGUCGAAAAGAUCUUAAAGACUAACCUAACUUCAAAUGUAAAAACCUUAUGGUUUCAUUAAAAUGUAAAAACUUCAAUGAUUUCAUUAAAACAUAGCAACUACUUAAUUAACUUCAUGUCAACAAUCAUAGGAUGGAAAAAUGACCUAAAGUUCCCUCUUUUAAAACGAAUAGUAAUAAAAUAGGAAAAUUAAUUUAAUUGCCUAAAGUUAAUAAAAAGUUAAAACUCUUUCAAAAAUGACAAUAAUAAAAAGAAAACUUAAAUAAAUGAAAUAAAUAAGACCUUGACAUAAUGAUGACAAUAAUAACAAUAAUACACCUUAUUCAUAAUACAAUAAAAGAAUCAAAGUAACAAAAAUAAAUAAUAUUAAAAUGUAUAUGUAAGGGAAAUGUGUAAAAAAAACAUAAAUAUAAAUAAACAUGAAAAUAAUUAAAGAUGAAAUAAGAAUAAAUAAAAACUAUACAAGUGUGAAUAAAUAUAAAACAUUAAAAUAAAGUGCAUAAUUGACAUUAAAUAUAUAAGGUAUAAAUGCAAAUGAAAAGGAAGAUAGAAGUGUAAAUAAUUUAUUAAAGAUGGAAACAAAAUGACAUAGCUUAAUUUUAGGACUAAAAGAUAAAAAAUGUGGAAGACGACUGGUGUAGCAAUUAAUUUGCUUUUAAUUUUUAAAUUUUGGAUUAAAUUGAAAGUUUGAAUAAACAAAAGGAUUACGAGUGUAAAUAGGCCAGAGAGUGAGGGCGGUGCUGCAAAAAAGGGAUAUUUUUUGUAAAUUUAAAAAGUAAGGGGGUGAGAAUAAAUUACCCAUUUUUGGCACCUACAAAUGAAAAUAAAUUAUUCAUUCUUUCAUUUUAACCUCAUUUUAACCUCAUUUUUUUCAAAAAAAAAACAUCUUCCUCCUUCUAUGUUGGCCAUGGCUCCACCAUCAGAAAGCCCAACGACUCUCUGGCUUCCGAUGGUGGAGUUGCUGCAUACGAUGACCGAAUUUUUUUUUUUUUGCAAAAUCAAAGAUUUCUUUAAAAAAAUCACUACUUUUCUUAAAAAUCAAAACUUUAUUUCGAAAUAGUUGAAAAAGAUCAAAAAGUUGUUUUAAAAAAAUUAAACUUUUCCUUAAAAAUGACUAAAAAAACAUAUUUUUAUUUUAAAAAUCUAAACUUUAUCUUUUUUUAAAAAAAAGCAAAACUUUAUUUUAAAAUUUUAAACUUUCCUUUGAAAUGACUAAAAAAACAUAUUUUUAUUUUUAAAAUCUAAACUUUCUCUUUUAAAAAAAAUCAAAAUUUUUCUUAAGAUCAAGCCUUUAAAAAAAAACCUUUAUUUAAGAAAGGGGAAGGGAAAAAUGGAAUUUUUGGGGCUCUUAGGGGCGAAGGACCGACGAUCCAGUGACGUCUCCUUCAUCAGAGCCCAAAACCCGAUCUCUCAUGACAUGUCUACGGCCAAAAAAAAAAGAUAGAAGAAAAGAAAAGAAACUAGAAUGCUUGUUGUUGUUUUUACCUUUUUUUUUUAAGAACAAAAUAUGAAAAGCCUUCUUUUUUUUUUCUUUCAUUUUAUUUCAUGUAUAUAUAUUGUUUUUUAAUCUUGUUUAUUUAUAAAAAAGAUAAUAAUAAUAUUUAAUAAUAAUAGUAGUAAUGAUAAUAAUAAUUUGGGCCCUUGAUAGGCCCAAAAAGGAAAGAAAAAUAAAAUAAAAACAAAGGCCUCCAUUUGACCAAAACUGGGUGGGCUUCGAACGGGCCCAAUAGAGAAUAAAUAUACAAAUGGGCCUCGAAUUGGGCUCGGACAAAAAUGGGUGUCUACACCGGGUAUUGAGAAUAAUUUUAAUAAUUACAGUAAAUGACCUAUUAAUUCAAGAGAUUUUCAUCUUAAUGCUACUUCACAAUUUAACCCCACCUUUAAAGGUUUAGUCAAAUUGGGGAUUUCUUUAAACCCUAACUUACUUGAUCCUUCAAAGCAUACAAUAGUGGUUUUUAAGGAUAAUAAUGAAGAAAAUACUACUAUCUCACUAGAGAGUGGUGAACCGAAAAUUUCUGUUAUCGGAAGUUCAAACAUCAAAAUAUGUGUAUCACUUGGGAAAGAGACUGCUAUUAGAAAAGGAAGGGUUCUUAAUAAAAUUAUUAAGGAUUGUGGAGAGCAUUUUAAGGUAGUCAAAAAUUCAAAAGUUUCACUUUCAGACUCGAUGAACUCUAUGGUAGAAUUUAUAAACUCUCAAAUUAAUACGGGGAUUAAUAAGGCUUCUGCGACUUUAGAGAACAUGCAAUAGGGUGAUGGGACUGAUUCUAAUCAGUAGAGGUGUAAUACCCCAAAAAUUUUUACAGUAAGGAAAGUAAGAUAAUAUCUCUGAUAUAGUAAAAUAAGGAAAUAAAGUGCUAAAAAGGGGUAAUUUUGAGUUAUGGCAAUAUUGGGAAGUAAAUUAUAACAUAUUAAUUCAAGAAAUGAUUAAAUCGCAAAACUGAGAAAAGUUUUGUUACCCAAGAGUAAAUACUUAAAAGUUGAGGGGUUAAAGUGUAAUUAUGAAAAAGUUGAAGGACCAAUGGUGUAAAUAUUUUAAGGGUGGAAUAAUCUAGAAAUUAAGAAAAAUGGAUGGAUUAGGACCAAAUUGAAAAAGGUGAAGAAGUUUGAGGGACUAAAUCACAAUUUUACCAAAUUAAGUGAUGACUCAAGGAUGGAAUUUUAAAAGAUCAUAAAGGGCAAAAUGGUCAAUUAGAAGAGAGAGAAAUCUAGAAGAUAAUGAUGAUGUUGGAGAUAUUUUAGAUUAAUAAAUAAAUAAAUAUUAGUUUAUUAAUAUUUUAAUUUGAUUUUUUUAAAUGAUAUUAUUUUAUUAUUAAUUUAUUUAGUAUAUAUAUAUGUGUGUGUGUGGAAAGAAGGAUGAAAAGUAGCCAUCCCCACCAUUUUUGCAUGCAUUAACGUGAGAAGAAGAGGGGAAGAAAGAAAGCUUUGCUUUCUCUACAAUUUGGUCCUUUCACCAAAAAUCCACCAUUUUUACGUAGAAAUCAAAGAAAUUUCCAUUGCCACCAAGAGAGAAAAUUGACAAAGAGACUAUGGGGAGCUAGAAUAUCAAGUUAGAUUCAAGGAAUAGAGGCUGGAGGAGAGAGAAAAUCAAGUUAAAGAUUGAAGUCAAUUGAGCAAGGUAAGAACAUCAUGAUUUCAAUAUAUUUUUGAGUUUGAUAUUAUUGAAAAAGUGUGAGAUUGAUGUUAAUGUAAGGUUUUAUUAUAUAAAGUUAUAUGUUCUUGAUAUGUUAGUGAAGAGAAAAUAAGAGAAAGUGUUGAGAAAUAGUGUAAAAAAAGAAAAUAAGAGUGUUAUAGACUUAGUAAUCAAUAUUCUGCACUAAAGCAGAUUUGGACAGCAGCAGUAGGUUAAAUUUUAAAAAUCACCAUAAAUUGUGGAAAUCGAAUUAUAGGAUGAAUAAAAUAUGAAAUUAAAGCUUAUUGAGUCUAGUUUCACAUAGAAGAAACAAUGUAAGCAAUGAAAUUAUAAAUUAUGAGAUAUAAUAGGUUAUGUGAGAUAAUGUCAGAAUGAUUUCGAGUUCCUCUGUUCUGACUUUGGAAAAUCAUUAAAAAUUGUAAAAAAUAAUUAUGGGAUAAAAUUUAUAUUAUUAGAAUAUUUUAUGAGUCUAUUUUCAAAUAAAACAAACAGAAACAUAAUCCUAAUUCUGUACAAUUAGAUAAUUCAUUUUUAGUGAAGAGUGGUCGGAACUGUCAGACAGUGAAACAGGGGAAACUUUAAAGAAUAAACUGUACUAUUUGGCUAAACCAAAAAUUCUAAAAAUUUUAUGGCAAGAAUAUAUAUGAGUCUAGUUUUAGGGAAAAUUAACGGAUCUUAAUUUGGAUUUCUGUAGCUCAAGAUACAAAUAAUUUAGUGACUAUGACUCAAAUAGACAACUUUGAUUAAAUUUACAAGAAAAUAGUGAAAAUUAUAGACAAUAUUACUUAUAAGCAUGUUAUAUAAAUUAAGGAUGUGGAAUGGAGAGGAGGAGGAGGAAAAUAAAUGUAUGAAUAUUAUGGAUUUGCAUUACAAAUGGUUAAUUUACAUGAUUUGGGUUCGAGGACUAAAUUGAAUAAAAGUAAAACUUUACGCAAUUUUGGAAAAAUGUCAAAAAUGACCAAAUUGCAUGAAAUGAGUUGUUUUAUUAAAAUGAAAAAUUAAUUUAGAUCAAGAUCAGGUAGAAAAUCGAGAAAAUGGAAAAUUACCAAAAUGCUCUUGUAUUUUAGUAUUUUUACAAUUUAGCCCGGUAAGUUCGUGUAAUUUGAAUUAUAUGCUUAAAUGCUUGNNNNNNNNNNNNNNNNNNNNNNNNNNNNNNNNNNNNNNNNNNNNNNNNNNNNNNNNNNNNNNNNNNNNNNNNNNNNNNNNNNNNNNNNNNNNNNNNNNNNGAAUAUGAUUUGGAUGUUUAUUGUAUGAUAAUUGAUGAAGUAUUGAUAUUCUUAAUGAAAAGAGAAAAUAAAUCCCGGUUGAAUGAAAGGAAAAUUCGAUGGAUCUCUGAAAAGGAAUUGACGGUAAAAAGGAUCUAGCCCAGACGGGUGAUCCUAUCCUGAUAUAGCCCUCCCAAAGAAUAUUUGCGAAAAAGAUCUAGCCCGGACGGGUGAUCUUGAUAUAGCCCUCCCGAAGAAUAUGUGGAAAAUGGAUUUAGCUCGGACGGGUAAUCCGAAUUAGGGUCUGAAUUUAGCCUGGACUGGUAAUUCAGAUCCAAGCUCAUUAGAGUAAUUGUCCUUGCAGGGGAUUUAGCCUGGACUAGUAAUCCCGACAAUACUCUAUGNNNNNNNNNNNNNNNNNNNNNNNNNNNNNNNNNNNNNNNNNNNNNNNNNNNNNNNNNNNNNNNNNNNNNNNNNNNNNNNNNNNNNNNNNNNNNNNNNNNNGUGCUAUCUUGCAGGGGAUUUAGCCUGGACUGGUAAUCCCGCUGUAAAGAUGAGGUUCGCGGGAGUGUGCUCUCUGAAGUGGAAAUGUGCGCACAUGAAUAUGAAUUGACGGACCCGGAAUUGUACACUAAAAGUGUACCUCUGAAAAUCCAUCGAAUUUCUGAGAAAUUCAACGGGAUAAAUAUGGAAAAUAAUAAGGGUAGUAGAAAAUAUGGAUUUGAAUUAUUAUUGGUAUUGAUCUGAAAUAAAUGUAACCAUUGUUAUUUAAAUGAUAUAACGGGUAAAGUUUUGAAGUGAGAUAACAUGAAUUUGAAAUGAACUAUUACUGGUAUGUACAAAAUUCAUGAAAAUGAUGGUACAUGAAAUAUCGAAAUAAUGAAAUGGAAAUGAAGCAUUAAAUUGCAUGAGUAUGUAUCGGGUUUCGUAGGCCCUAAUUAUUAUGAUCAUAAUAUUUUGAAGAUAUAUUAUGAAAAAUUAUAAAAGCAUGUUAAUAAAUUUGAAAAUUUUAAUUUAGAUGAAAUUUAUAACUCGGUUAAAUACGUUUACAAGCGUAUGGGUUCUGGUAAUGUCUCGUACCCUAUUUCGGUGUUGACUACGGGUGAGGGGUGUUACAAGAGGUUGGUUGUCUAUCUUUCUUUUUUGAAUUUAUGAAUUUAAAUAUUUUUUUCUUGGAAUUUUCAUGAAUGUGCUAAUAGUAAAUUCCCUCGAGUUUUUCGGGAAUAUAAUCAGGAAUUUAAACCAAAUAUUGUGGGAUUGCUCGAGACAAAAGUUAGUGGUGGAAAAGUUUAUUUGAUUAUCGCUAAUUUGGGUUUCCAGUACUUUCAUAAAGUUGAGGCCGUAGGUUUUUCUAAUGGUAUUUGGAUUGGGUGGAAAGAUUUGGUUAGAGUUGAAAUGAUCUACAAUCAUCCUCAAUUUGUCCUAAUUUGGAUCAUCGAUAAUUCAUUUCGAAGGUCUAUUCUAGUUUCCUUUGUGUAUGGUAGCCUGAAUAAGCAAAAGAGGAAGUUCUUGUAGGAAUGUCUAAAUUCGAUGUUACCAAAUGAUAAUGUUCCAUGGAUGACGAUUGGAGAUUUUAAUGCCAUUUUCUCUCUCAGUGAGAAGAGAGGAGGACGAAGAGAAGGAAAAAGGUGUUCAACUUUCGAUAAUUUUGUUGACUCUGAUAGUCUUCAUGAUUUCAGGUUUAAAGAUUCAGCGUUUACUUGGCAGAGAGGUGAGGGCUUUGAAAGGCUUGAUAGAGCUAUCUGUAAUGAUGUGUGGAUUUUAGAAUUCCUGAGUUGUUUAAUGUCUCAUCUCCUUACGCUCAAAUCGGACUAUCGGCCUCUGUUUCUAUCCUUAAGGCAGGAUUCAACUUUUUUCAAAGAUGGACCCUUCAGAGUCCUUACCGGUUGGGUUGAACAUCCAGAUUUCUCUCAAUUUUUUAAGAAUGCUUGGACUUUUAAUGGUAACAUGGGGUCUUCUAUUAAGCUGCUUUCAAAUAACCUGAAGCAUUGGAAUAAGAAUAUAUAUGGGCAUAUCAGCAACCGUAAAAAAAAUCUUCUACAGAAAUUAGCUAGUAUUCAAAAAGCGAUGGAUAAAAUGGACUUCGAAGAAUUGACCAUUGCUGAAAUGAAGGUUAGAGAGGAUUUAUAAAGCAUGCUCCACCAUGAGGAGCUGCUUUGGAAACAGAAGGCUAGGUGCGUUUAGUUUAUCAUCGGAGAUCGAAACACAAAGUUCUUCCAUAGGCGCACUCUUCAGAGAAGAAAGCAUAAUAAGAUAUCAACCCUGAAGAAUGAUCUAGGGGAUUAGGUUUAUGAUGAUGAGGCCCUACAGAUGGAAGCUAUUAACUUUUUCUAGUGACUUUAUGGGGAGCAUUCGGAACCCAUGGUAGGGCUGCCCCCAGCUCUUUUCCUAAAUUAUCUCAAUAAGAUGUUCAGUCUUUGGGUAUGACAACCACUGAUGAGGAAAUUAAGGUUGCUCUAUUUGACAUGGCACCCUUAAAAUGUUAGGAAAUGUACUCAUACUAUAGUAAACAUGUAACUGUUUUAUAUUUAUUUGAACGAUGAAUAAAUAAAUAAAGUUAAUUUCACAUUUCACUAUUAUAUCUUUUGUAUUUCUGUCUUUUAUAUUUUACAUGCAUAGAGAAAUUAUGACAAACAAAUAUUAGCUCAUUGAUUGUCUAAAGUUCAACUUGAAGAUAAAUGGCACUGUAAAGAACGUUUACAUUGCGAGAAAGAUAACUUACUUCAGUAGAUAAUUUAAAUGAAUUUGUAAUCUCGUAAAAGAAUAAAAGCGAUCAUUUGAUUCAAAUACUAUGAAGGAUUAUUAUAUUGUCUGCAAUUCCAAUUGGGGAGAAGACUAGUCUUGGCUAUCAGAGCAGUUGACUCCACGAGUAGAGAUAUAGAUGUAUUCAUUGGUAGAAUAAUACAUCAGACUGGACCCAAGAUGAAUUAAUUCUGAAUCCACUUGUGAAUUAAUUCACUUGUGACGUUCAUGAUGUGAUUUACCUAAAUCUUGAGUUAGUCACUGACCAUGCAUAUGCAAUUCAUGUGCUUUGAUAUAAGUGGAUGCUUAUGCUCUAAAGAUGAUCGAACCCAUAGCCGGUAUGUUGGGUAUAUGACUUAUGUAUGGCAUGUCUUUACUAGCAACAGUGGAAUUCAUAGCUCAACUAAAGAGUUAAUAAUAUCCUUUCAUUGGCAUUGUGUGGAUUGAUAAAUAUGGAACGUGGUCAAGGGUUGCUUGUUCUCAAACGAGCAAUUUAUCAAGUCAUUUGUUGACAGUGGUCAUAUUAAUCAUUAAGAAGACACAGUGGUGACAAUAAGAUAAAAUAGGAUUGUAUUGAGUGAACGGAUUGAACUCAAAGAAAUCAAUGAUAUCAUAUGAGGGUAACACACCAUGACAAGGUCAUUGGACAAAUCAGUUGGAUGAAUUGCUUUCGCAAAGAGUAUACAAUAAGAAGUUUUCAAUCAUGGUACUUCUUGUGGACUAACUCAAUGAUUAAGUAAUUGUGAAUUAUCGGAAUGAUGCUUCUAGACAUAACUGCAAUCAUUAGAGCCUAAUUGUAUAUGUCCGAUUGGUUCCUCCGCUAGCUCAAUAAAAGCUUGAUCGGACAACAUUUGAAUCAGAAGAAAAUUCUAUGACUUUGGGAAUAAUAUAAUUGAGUUAAUUUAUUCGAUUUAGAAUUAAAUUAGGUGGUCGUAAGAAUUGUUCAACUAGAGAAUUUGAUUAAAAAAUUUUCUUGAAAAAUUAAUUUGGAAAAUCUAAGUGAAUUUUGGAAAAAUUAAUUUCGAUCAAGUAAAAUUAAAUUAAUCUAAUUAAUUAAAAUUAAUAUGAUAUUUUUAGAAAUUAAUUUUCAAGUCAGACAAUUGGCCCAAUGGGUAAUUAAACUUGGAAAUUGGACCUGAGAUCGUAAAUUGAGCCUGGGAGCCCAAAACCAAGACCAAAACCUAAAAACUUGUUGAACCAGGCCCAGUAUGUGAAACCGAGCCGACCGGUCGGGACCGGACAGCAACUGAACUGGCUCAGGGUAUCGUAUGGGUGUCGCACUUGCAUCACCAUACACAGUGGUGCCAGUGGCUACGACAGCAGUUGAUCGUUGAUGGUUGAGUAGUGGAAGAGUUACAUUCCUAUUGGAAUUCUACUAGAGAAUUUGAUUUCAAAUUAAUUAUUCCAAAAAUAAUAUUAUUUUAAUAUUUUAAUAUUAAAUUUAAUUUAAUAUUUAUCUUAAUAGUAUUUUAUUAAUUUAAUAUUAAAGUGAUUAUCUUAAUAUUAAAUUUAAUUUAAUGUUUAUCUUCUAGAUAAACAUUCUAUUAAUUUAAUUUUAAAGUGAUUAAGUUUAAUUAUAGUUGAACUCUCUAAACUCUCCCUAUAUAAAGAGAGUUUUAGGUCAUUCUUUACACACACUUGAAUUCAAGAUAAAGUUGUAGAGAGAAAAUUCUAUAAACAGAUUAUUCUAGAAAAUUUCUAGAGAUAUUUUUCUAAUUUAUAAUUUGAUCCAAAAGUUUAGAGAAAUUGCAAUAUCACCCCACUGGUAAUUUUUGUGAAAAUUUUUUUGAUUCGAAGCAAGCCUACACUUGACAGACGUGAGCUUGAGGAUAGCAGAGAAGAUUACUCGGUCGAAGCGCUCAUCCUAGACGAAUUGAAAAGGUACAAUUUUGAUUAAGUGUUUAUUACUUUAGAUAUCACAACCAAGAUCUUGUUUUGGAAAAAAAUUUAAAACUCUGGUCUUUUCCUAAAUUAUUUUUCGUUGCAUUUUCCAAACUUGUUUCUUCCAACAUAAAAGCUCAAGGGAGUGAUGGUCUUCAUGCCUUGUUUUUCCAAAGCCGAUGAGAGCACAUUGGUAGUUCCGUUUGUGGGUGGGUUAAACGGAUAUUCGAUGGGAAAUCAUUGAUUCAGAUCUUAACAACACUUUAGUUGUUCUAUUACCUAAUGUUCAUGCCCUUGAAAUUUUUUCCCAAUUUAGGCCCAUCAUCUUAUGCUUGGUCUUGUAUAAAUUGGUUAUGAAGGUUAUUUCUAUCGCUUUAAGACGGUUUUUCCAAGUAUUAUUACGUAGGAACAAGCGGGAUUCAUAACAGGGCGUAAUAUAAUAGAUAAUGUCAUUGUUCCACAAGAAGACAUCUAUUCUAUGGGGAGCAAACAAAAGAAUAGAAAAUGGAUGGUUGUGAAGAUCGAUUUGGAGAAGGCAUAUGAUCGAGUUCGCUAGGAAUUUAUUAAGGUUUCUCUUAAAGCCGCAAGUAUUCCUGAGCUCCUAAAUAAUGUUAUCAUGUUUACUAUCUCUAACUCUACUAUGCAGAUUCUCUGGAAUGGUGUUCUGUCCCCAAAAUUUAAACAGGCCAGAGGCAUCUGUCAGGGGUGCCCCUUAUCCCCGUAUUUAUUUGUCUUGUGUACAGAGUGGCUUGGACACAACCUACAUUCAACAAUUCAAAGGGGUUAGUGGCAACCUAUUCGCAUUAGUCAUUCAGGUCCAGCAAUCUCUCAUUUAUCUUUUGCAGAUAACCUUAUCAUAUUUGAGAAAGCUGAUAAAAAUCAAGCUAGAUUGUUGGGGGGAUUCUAAAAGAGUUCUGUAAUUUCUCUGGACAUCGGGUAAAUGCAAGGAAAUCUUACAUCUUUUUCUCUAAAGGUGUAAGUGAAGAGACGAGAAAGAUCCUUAUUGACAUUCUGGGUUUCAAUAAGGUGCAAAAUCUCAUAUCUUAUCUAGGGAUUCCACUUCUUUAUGAGAGAGUGACUAAUAGUACUUUGAGAUUUGUUGUCGAUCAAGUUCACAUUAGACUACAGAGCUGGGAGGCUAGGAAACUAUCCUUAGCAGGCGAGGCCACUAUUGCUCAGUCUAUUUUAUUAAAGAUACCAAGCUAUUUCAUGCAAUCAAUAAGGAUCCCUAAAGGCUUAUGUGACGAGAUUGAACAAUUAGUUAGACAAUUCAUUUGAGGAGUAUCUAAAAGGGAAAUGAAGAUGACGCUUUUCAUUUGGGAGUCUAUUUGUCAACCAAGAUCCCAUGGGGGCCUUGUUUUAGGCGAUUGGAAGACCAGAAUACAUCUUUCCUAAUGAAACUUGGCUUCAAUCUUGUUUCCAACAUGAAUGCUCUAUGGGUUCGGGUGUUUAAAGCCAAGUAUAGAGUACAUACUGGUCUACCUAAUCCUUAACUCAGGGAUGUUGUUCUUUUCUUUGGAAAAGUCUUUCUAAAGUAUGGCCUCUGGUUAAAGAAAAUCUUUUAUGGUCAGUUGGGGAUGGUAACUCGAUCAAAUGUUGGAGUGACCUUUGGAUUCCAAAUUUUGGCCCUUUGUCAAAUCAUAUUCCAUUUCAUUCGAAUAUGGAAAGGGAGAACGUGUUGAACAGUGUGGUUUCGGAGGAUGGGCAUUGGAACUUUGAUUUAUUUUGCCCAUAGGUGUCGGAGGAUAUAAUUAGGCGCAUUAUAGGUAUUCCUCCACCACAUUCGGAAGUUGGUUCGGAUAUAAUCACUUGGGCAGGAUCUUCUAAUAGUUCCUUUUAAAUCAAGAGCACAUUCUGGAAAAUUCAGCAAGAGACUUGGAAUCCCAAGAAUGGCAUAUGGAAAAUACCUUGGAAGUUUCAGGGCCCUCAACAAGCUAGAUAUUUUAUUUGGCUCGUUCUUAAAAAACAUCUUCUUACUAAUUCCGAGUGUGCAAAAAGAGGAAUCGGGCCAGAUGGUUCUUGUGGCAUAUGCAACAAUGAGUAUAAAGACAUUUUACAUGCCAUUUGUGAUUGUCCUUCUACUAAGGAGACUUGGAAACGUAUUAUUCCAUAGAUCAAAUAUAAUUCUUUUUUUUCAAGUAAUUUGUAGGAUUGGAUUUCAAGUAAUCUUCAAAAUUGUCUCAAUUUACAACUGGAUGGGAUAGAUUGGCGAUACUUCUUUAGUAUGGUAGCUUGGCGUAUUUUGAAAAAUCGGAACCUUUUUAUCUUCCAAGGCAUAACAUGGAGUACUAAGGAAUUUAUUAAAAUCUCAUUCAGCUGGGCUAAACAUUACAAAUAAGCUUUUAAGGUAAAUAUCUCUGACCGAAAAGUUCCAAUAGUUGUUGUGCCAAAUAUUGGGAAUUGGACCCAAUUAAAUUCUGACAGAGCAGUAAAAGAGGAAUUCGGGUUUGCUACGACCGGGGGAGUUCUUUGUGAUAGAUACGGCGAAUGGAUUAUUGGGUAUACAGCUUAAAUUAUUAAUUUUUGUAAAGGAACUAGAAUUAAUUUAUUGAUUUUUUUUAAAAUUAGAACUAAAUUGAAUUUUUUUUAAAAAUUUUGAGGGCUAAAUUUAUUGAAUUUUUUAGAAUUCUAACUAAAAUGACAAAUUUUGUAGAAAAAUUUAUAUUUACGAUCAAAUUGAUAUAAUGUGUAAAUAUUGAAGGGCUAAAUUUGUUAUUAGACUAAUAAAAAAGUCAUUUUAAUUGACCAAAAUAUUUAAUUUCGAAAGAUUUAGUGACUAAAUUAAAAAAAAUUCAAUAAUUAAAAUAGAAAAAAAAAACAGUUUAGUGACAUUUUUUAGUUUAACCAAAUAAAAAACAUUAAAUAGAAUUUAAAAAUAAAAGACAAAUUUAACUAAAAAUAAAUUCGGUGGGAACAACCCUAAUACCAAAGUCAAAAGAGAUGUGUGAAGAGUUAAGGUGGGUUUGGAUGGGCGAUUGGGUGCGGUGCGGUGCGUUUAACUUACUUUUUGUCACACGCUACAAUAUCGUUACAAUAUCUAAUCUCACCGCCACCGUUGUUUUUACACUAACCGCAGGUAAACGCACCGCCCAGCCAAACUCACCCUUAGUCUUUCCAUCACGAUCACGUUCGACUUUAAACAUUUUCAUUUUUCAACAAAGAAAAUAAAUAAAAAUUGAAAAAAAUAAAAUAUGAAGUCUGUUUAUAAAAGUCAAGAUCACCGACCUGUCGUUUUUGGUUUUUUACCAUUUUUUUUAUCAUUUAUCUAUAUUAUUAUUUAAGCUCUUGACUGACUUGAUGCCACUUUCAAUUAGGUCAUUAAUUCAGUUAAGAAAUUACGAGAAUGUCUUUCCUAAUAUUAUUCGAGGAUAUUUUAAUCAUUUUAUUUAAAAUAAAUUAAUAAAAAUAUAGAUAUGGUGGGUUUUAAAGCCACGCCAAUUACAUUAAUAAAACUUUUAAUUUACCAUUCAACUAAAUUUUUUUUAUAUUUUUAUACAUUUUAUUUUUAUUAUGCACAUUUUAUUACUUUCAUUAGUUGUAUUUAUUAAUAAUGUAUUUGAUUGAGUUGGUGUCACAAGUUAACUCAAUACCGACUUAAGAUUGAUGAUAACAUCAUGAUAAAUAAUUUAACCUAAUUUUUUUAUUUUAAUAACGUACAUAUUUCAUGUGUUUCCAUUGAGUACAUAAAGCCAAAAAAAAAUAUGGGAUGCAUGCUUUUUAUCGUUGCAUGGUAUGUUGAACUGAAGUAUAUGUCUACCAUGUUAAAUUCAAUAAUUUUGAAGCUAAUGAAGGCUUCACUUACCUCUUAAACAUCUUGUUGAAGUGAAAGUGAAUGCAGCAGUAAAUAGUGGGGGUUUUCGGAUUUAUUUCAUACUAAAUUUCGGUGUAUAUUUUUCUAAGAAAAAUAAACAAUCCAACUAAAUAUUAUAUAUUGUUUACAAAUAAUCUUAUACAACUUGUUGAUAAAUAACUAUUUUAUUAAGAGAUGUUUGACUUUACUUCAACAAUUUUUACUUUUCUCUCUUAUAAUAUGUUUUAGUUCUAUGUAUUAGAGGUGUUUAUGAUUCGGGUCUGGCCCAACUAAAAUUUUAAGCCGAGAAAUAGGUCUAAAAUUUUACCCAGGUCUAGCCUGGAUAAAAAUGCUAAAACCUGGUCUGACCCAGCUCGCCCAUAUUAAUUUAUAUAUAUAUAUAUAUAUUAAUAUAUAUAGAACACAUCAAACUUACUAAAAAUAUUAAAAUAAAUAUUUCCCAACAAAUUGAAAAUAAAUCUUUAAAAAUAUGUAUACUUAAAUAACAGUAAGAUAGAUACAAUUAAACAAGCAAAUGUCUCUAAAAUAGUAACAAAAUUAACAAUAAAAUCAAAGUUAUACAAUAUCCAAACAAUAGCAACAUAAUAGUGAAAUUGUAGCAAAAUAAGGAGAAAAUAAUAAAAAAAUAGCAUUGAAAAAUACUAUUGUUGGUUCCAUCACUAUUUAUAUAAACCCAACUGCAUAACUAAAAAGGUAAUCCAAAAAGGUAAUCUAAUUUUUUUUUCUAAAUGUUACAAUAACAAAUUUAACUGAGAAAAAUAGUUAAAAUUAAUAAUUGGACUUAAUUUUUUAAAAUUAAAAUAUAAAAAAUAAAUUUCUAAAAAAAAAGUAAAAGAAAAAACUAAAUUCCAAAUAUAAUAAAAGAUGAAUAUAAAACAUAUAUAUAUAUAUAUUCAAUAUUUCUUAUUUAUUCAAGAAACAAUCAAUCAUUCAACAUCAAAGUAAGCCGACCACUCAAAAUAUUAAAACAACCAGAUUCUUAUUGGACUGCCCAACUGGUUUGUUUGUUAAUAAUACUAUUGGUUCUGGGCUUUUAUAACACCUAAAACAUGGGAUAAAACUUGGUUCCACUGCUUUGUUCAAUCAAAAUCACUGCAGGAAACAUAAGUCAACCACAAGUCCUCAUCUUCUCUUGCAACACCCCACUUUUAUUUGACUUUUUUUUCUCUUGUUCAUGUCUCAAGGAGGAUCCAAUCCAGAUGGUAACACUCAGGCCAACAGGGUAACUGAUCACUGCUUCUUUUUCUUUUUUUCAUGUAAGCUUUGCAAGUUUGAAUAUAAUUUUCAAUCUCAUUACAUGAUGUUUUAUCCUUUUUUUUUAUUUUUUUUAUUUUGCAGUUUAUCAAUGAAUUCCCAGUGUUCACGAAUCAGAUCGACUUAUUAAUAGCAAAAUACGAGAAGCUGGUUGACACUGAAGCAACUCAGCUAGAUGAGAUCAAUAGUUUGAAAGUCAUGGUUGCAGACAAAGAUGAAAAAAUUCGCAUACACGAACAACUGUGCCGUGAGCUUCAGAAAGAGGCGAACGAAUUGAGGGCGAAUCUGGAGAAAACCAAUAAGGAACAUGAUGUGAAGGUAUCUGAGCUCGAGAAAAAGCUCAAGGCCAAAGAAAAGGA
Molecule: long non-coding RNA, 53285 nt
Filed under: Gossypium raimondii (Peruvian cotton)
Lineage: Eukaryota; Viridiplantae; Streptophyta; Magnoliopsida; Malvales; Malvaceae
Description: long non-coding RNA (GRAI_LNC009875)
Source: RNAcentral